RNAcentral lists this long non-coding RNA (56400 nucleotides) under Zea mays. Its description in RNAcentral is "long non-coding RNA (ZMAY_LNC005028)". The record is from RNAcentral. Lineage: Eukaryota; Viridiplantae; Streptophyta; Magnoliopsida; Poales; Poaceae.
UUUACAUAUUUGAGAAACUGAAAGCAAGUUGUAAUCUAAAGAAUCUACAAGAAAAACAUUGGAAAUGGAAUGGUCAGGUGAUAUAGCAAUUUUACCCAAUCCUUUGACCAAACCUUGAUUUCCAUCCCCGAAUGUGAUAGCUCGUUGGGGAUCUUGGUUUUUCUCGUAGGAGGAGAACAUUUUCUUCUCCCCUGUCAUGUGAUUUGUGCACCCGCUGUCGAUGAUCCAACUUGAGCCCCCGGAUGCAUAAACCUACGAAAUAAGUUUAGUUCUUGAUUUUAGGUACCCAAACGGUUUUGGGUCCUUUGGCAUUAGAUGCAAGAACUUUGGGUACCCAAACACAAGUCUUGGUGCCCUUGUGUUUGUCCCCAACAUACUUGGCAACUAUUUUGCCGGAUUUGUUAGUUAAAACAUAAGAUGCAUCAAAAGUUUUAAAUGAAAAGUUAUGAUCAUUUGAUGUAGUAGGAGUUUUCCUUUUAGGCAAUCUAGCAUGGGUUGAUUGCCUAGAACUAGAUGUCUCACCCUUAUACAUAAAAGCAUGAUUAGGGCCAGAGUGAGACUUCCUAGAAUGAAUUCUCCUAAUUUUGCUCUCGGGAUAACCGGUAGGAUACAAAAUGUAACCCUCGUUAUCCUGAGUCAUGGGAGCCUUGCCUUUGACAAAGUUAGACAAUCUUUUAGGAGGGGCAUUAAGUUUGACAUUGUCCCCCUUUUGGAAGCCAAUGCCAUCCUUGAUGUCAGGGCGUCUCCCAUUAUAGAGCAUGCUUCUAGCAAAUUUAAAAUUAUCAUUUUCUAAGUCAUGCUCGGCAAUUUUAGCAUCUAAUUUUGCUAUAUGAUCAUUUUGUUGUUUAAUUAAAGCCAUAUGAUCAUGAAUAGCAUCAAUGUUAAUAUCUCUACAUCUAGUACAAAUAGUAACAUGCUAAAUGGUAGAUGUAGAGGGUUUGCAAGAAUUAAGUUCAACAAUCUUAGCACGUCAAAUAUCAUUGUUAUCUCUAAGAUCAAAAAUGGAAGCAUUGCAAACAUCUAAUUCUUUAGCCUUAACAAUUAAUUUUUCGUUUUCAAUCUUAAGGCUAGCAAGAGAAACAUUUAAUUCUUCAAUCUUAGCAAGUAAUUUAACAUUAUCAUCUCUAAGAUUGGGAAUUGAAGCAUCACAAACAUUUGAAUCAACCUUAGCAAUUAAACUAGCAUUCUCAUUUCUAAGGUUGGUAAUAACAUCAUGGCAAGAGCUUAGCUCAAUAGAUAAUUUUUCACAUUUUUCUACUUCUAGAGCAUAAGCAUUCUUAACCUUAACAUGCUUUUUAUUUUCCUUAAUUAGGAAAUCCUCUUGGGAGUCCAAGAGUUCAUCCUUCUCAUGAAUAGCACUAAUUAAUUCAUUUAAUUUUUCCUUUUGUUGCAUGUUUAGGUUGGCAAAAAGUGUGCGCAAAUUAUCCUCCUCAUCACAAGAGUUAUCCUCAUCACUAGAGGUUUCAUAUUUAGUGGAGGAUUUUGAUUUUACCUUCUUCUUUUUGCCGUCCUUUGCCAUGAGGCACUUGUGGCCAACAUUGGGGAAGAGGAGUCCCUUGAUGAAGGCGAUGUUGGCGGCGUCCUCGUCGGAGGAGGAGUCGCUGGAGCUCUCGUCGGAGUCCCAUUCGCGGCACACAUGGGCAUCGCCGCCUCUCUUCUUGUGGUACCUCUUCUUUUCUCUCCUCUUUCCCUUGUCUUCGCCCCUGCCACUAUCACUAGAUAAUGAACAUUUAGCAAUGAAAUGACCGGGCUUACCACACUUGUAGCACACUUUCUUGGAGCGGGAUUUGUAGUCCUUCCCCCUCCUUUGUUUGAGGAUUUGGCGGAAGCUUUUGAUGAUGAGCGCCAUCUCCUCAUUGUCGAGCUUAGAGGCGUCGAUGGGUUGUCUACUUGAUGUAGACUCUUCCUUUUUCUCCUCCGUUGCCUUGAAUGCGACCGGUUGUGCUUCGGGCGUGGAGGGGCCAUCUAGCUCGAUGAUUUUCUUUGAGCCUUUGAUCAUCAACUCAAAGCUCACAAAGUUUCCUAUUACUUCCUCGGGAGACAUUAGUGUAUAUCUAGGAUUACCACAAAUUAAUUGAACUUGUUUGGGAUUAAGAAAAACGAGGGAUCUUAGAAUAACCUUGACCAUCUCAUGGUCAUCCCAUUUGGUGCUCCCGAGGUUGCGCACUUGGUUCACCAAGGUCUUCAAGCAGUUGUACAUGUCUUGUGGCUCCUCCCCUUGGCGAAGCCGGAAGCGAUCGAGCUCCCCCUCGAUCGUCUCCCGCUUGGUGAUUUUGGUCACCUCAUCUCCUUCGUGCGCGGUUUUGAGCACGUCCCAAAUCUCCUUAGCGCUUUUUAACCCUUGCACCUUGUUAUACUCCUCUCGACUUAGAGAGGCGAGGAGUAUGGUGGUGGCUUGGGAGUUGAAGUGCCGGAUUUGGGCGACCUCGUCCGAGUCAUAGUCUUCAUCCCCCGGUGAUGGUACCUGUACUCCAAUCUCAACAACAUCCCAAAUGCUAGUGUGGAGUGAGGUUAGAUGAUGCCUCAUUUUAUCACUCCACAUAUUAUAAUCUUCACCAUCAAACAUGGGUGGUUUGCCUAAUGGGACGAAAAGUAAUGGAGUACGUUUUGGAAUGCGAGGGUAGUGUAGGGGAAUCUUACUAAACUUCUUGCGCUCAUGGCGCUUAGAAGUUACGGACGGCGUGUCAGAGCCGGAGGUGGAUGGCGACGAAGAGUCGGUCUCGUAGUAGACCACCUUCCUCAUCUUCUUCUUGUCAUCGCUCCGACGCGACUUGUUGUGUGAAGGGGAUCCCUUCACCUUGUUGGUGGACUCCCCGGAUGGAGCCUUCCCAUGGCUUGUGGCGGGCUUCUCGCCGGUUUCGAUCUCCCUCUUGGCGGAUGCUCCCGACAUCACUUCGAGCGGUUAGGCUCUAAUGAAGCACCAGGCUCUGAUACCAAUUGAAAGUUGCCUAGAGGGGGGUGAAUAGGGCGAAUCUGAAAUUUAUAAACUUAAGCACAACUACAAGCUGGGUUAGCGUUAGAAAUAUAAACGAGUCCGAGAGAGAGGGCGCAAAACAAAUCGUGAGCAAAUAAAGCGUGAGACACAAGGAUUUGUUUUACCGAGGUUCGGUUCUUGCAAACCUACUCCCCGUUGAGGUGGUCACAAAGACUGGGUCUCUUUCAACCCUUUCCCUCUAUCAAACGGUCACUUAGACCGAGUGAGCUUCUCUUCUCAAUCAAACGGAACACAAAGUUCCCGCAAGGACCACCACACAAUUGGUGUCUCUUGCCUCGGUUACAAUUGAGUUGAUCACAAGAAGAAUGAGAAAGAAAAGAAGCAAUCCAAGCGCAAGAGCUCAAGUGAACACAAAUGUCACUCUCUCUAGUCACUAUUUGAUUUGGAGUGAUUCCGGACUUGGGAGAGGAUUUGAUCUCUUUGGUUGUGUCUAGAAUUGAAUGCUAUAGCUCUUGUAAUGUGUUGGGGGUGGAAAACUUGGAUACAAUUGAAUGUGGGGUGGUUGGGGUAUUUAUAGCCCCAACCACCAAAAUAUGGCCGUUGGAAGGCUGCUGUCACAUGGCGCACCGGACAGUCCGGUGCGCCACCGGACACUGUCCGGUGCGCCAGCCACGUCAGCAGGCCGUUGGGGUUCGACCGUUGGAGCUCUGACAGGUGGGGCCUCUGGGCUGUCCGGUGGUGCACCGGACAGGUCCUGUAGACUGUCCGGUGCGCCAACUGCACGUGCUCUGUCCUCUGCGCGCGCAGGCGCGCAUUAAAUGCGUUGCAGUCGACCAUUGCGCGCGAAGUAGCCGUUGCUCCGCUGGCACACCGGACAGUCCGGUGAAUUAUAGCGGAGCGGCCUCCCAUUUUCCCGAAGGUGGCAAGUUCAGCGUCGAGUGCCCUGGUGCACCGGACACUGUCCGGUGGCACACCGGACAGUCCGGUGCGCCAGACCAGGGUGCCUUUUGGGAUGUCUUUGGCUCUCUUUGUUUGAACCCUUUUCUUGGUCUUUUUAUUGGCUUAUAGUUAACCUUUGGCACCUGUAAAACUUAUAGACUAGAGCAAACUAGUUAGUCCAAUUAUUUGUGUUGGGCAAUUCAACCACCAAAAUCAAUUAGGAAAAAGGUGUAAGCCUAAUUCCCUUUCACUACUGAAUCAUCACUUCUUCUAAAGACAGUAACACUUAUAUCUGUAAAAAGACAGUUGUAGCCCAUUUUACAUAAUUGAGAAACAGAAAGCAAAUUGUAAUCUAAAGAAUCUACAAGAAAAACAUUGGAAAUAGAAUGGUCAGGAGAUAUAGCAAUUUUACCAAGACCUUUGACCAAACCUUAAUUUUCAUCCCCAAAUGUGAUAGCUAUUUGGGGAUCAUGGUUUUUCUCGUAGGAGGAGAACAUCUUCUUCUCCCCUGUCAUGUGGUUUGUGCACCCGCUAUCGAUGAUCCAACUUGUGCCCCCGGAUGCAUAAACCUACAAAACAAGUUUAGGCCUUGUUCUUAGGUACCCAAACGGUCUUGGGUCCUUUCACAUUAGAAACAAGCACCUUAGGUACCCAAACACAAGUCUUUGACCCCUUGUGUUUGCCCCCAACAUAUUUGGCAACUACUUUGCCUGAUUUGUUAGUUAGCACAUAAGAUGCAUCAAAAGUCUUAAAUGAAAUAUUAGGUUCAUUUGAUGCAAUAGGAGUUUUCUUCCUUGACAAUUUAGCAUGGGUUGAUUGCCUAGAACUAGAUGCCUCACUCUUAUACAUAAAAGCAUGAUGAGAGCCAGAGUGAGACUUCCUAGAGUGAAUUCUCCUAAUUUUGUGCUCGGGAUAACCGACAGGAUAUAAAAUGUAACCCUCGUUAUCCUGAGCCAUGGGAGCUUUGCUCUAACAAAGUUAGACAAUCUUUUAGGAGGGGUAUUAAGCUUGACAUUGUCUCCCUGUUGGAAGCCAAUGCCAUCCUUAAUGCCAGGGCGUCUCCCACUAUAGAGCAUGCUUCUAGCAAAUUUAAAAUUUUCAUUUUCUAAGUCAUGCUCAUCAAUUUUAGCACUAAGUUGAGCUAUGUGAUCAUUUUGUUUCUUAAUUAAAGCUAAGUGAUCCUGAAUAGUAUCAACAUUAAUGUCUCUACAUCUAGUGCAAAUAGUAACAUGCUCAACGAUAGAUGUAGAGGGUUUGCAAGUAUUUAAAUCAACAAUCUUAGCAUGUAAGAUAGCAUUCUCAUCUCUAAGAUUGGAAAUGGAAACAUUGCAAACAUUUAAGUCUUUAGCCUUAGCAAUUAAUUUUUCAUUUGCAAUUUUAAGACUAGAGAGCGAAGCAUUCAAAUUGUCAAUCUUAGUAAUCAAACUAGCAUUAUCAUUUCUAAGACUAAUAAUUGAAUCAUCACAAAUGUCUAACUUCUCAACCUUAGCUAUUAAUUUAGCAUUUUCAUCUCUAAGGUUGGAAAUAACAUUAUGGCAAGUACUUAGCUUACUAGUUAAUUUUUCACAUUUUUCUACCUCUAGAGCAUAAGCAUUUUUAGUCUUAACAUGCUUUUUAUUUUCCUUAAUAAGGAAGUCCUCUUGGCUAUCCAAGAGUUCAUCCUUCUCAUGAAUAGCACUAAUCAAUUCAUUUAAUUUCUCCUUUUGUUGCAUAUUAAUAUUGGCAAAAAGGGUAAGCAAGUUAUCCUCAUCAUCACUAGAAUUAUCCUCAUCCCUAGAGGUUGUAUACUUAGUGGAGGAUUUUGAUUUUACCUUCUUCUUCUUACCGUCCUUUGCCAUGAGGCACUUGUGGCCGACGUUGGGGAAGAGGAGUCCCUUGUUGACGGCGAUGUUUGCGGCGUCCUCGUCGGAGGAGUCGAUGGAGCUCUCGUCGGAGUCCCACUCCCAGCAAACAUGGGCAUCACCGCCCUUCUUUUUGUAAUACUUCUUCUUUUCUCUCCUCUUUCCCUUCUUGUCGUCGCCCCUGUCACUGUCACUAGAAAUAGGACAUUUUGCUAUAAAGUGGCCGGGCUUACCACAUUUGUAGCAAACCUUCUUGGAGCGGGGUUUGUAAUCCUUCCCCCUCCUUUGCUUGAGGAUUUGGCGGAAGCUCUUGAUGAUGAGCGCCAUUUCCUCAUUGUCGAGCUUCGAGGCGUCGAUGGGAAGCCUACUCGAUGUACAUUCUUCCUUCUUCUCCUCCGUUGCUUUGAAUGCGACCGGUUGCACUUCGGGUGUGGAGGGGGCGCCUUGCUCGAUGAUUUUCUUGGAGCCUUUGAUCAUCAAUUCAAAGCUCACAAAUUUUCCUAUCACUUCCUCGGGAGACAUUAGUUUAUAUCUUGGAUCACCACGAAUUAAUUGUACUUGAGUAGGGUUAAGAAAUACGAGUGAUCUAAGAAUAACCUUGACCAUCUCAUGGUCAUCCCAUUUUGUGCUCCCGAGGUUGCGCACUUGGUUCAUCAAAGUCUUGAGCUGGUUGUACAUUGUUUGUGGCUCCUCCCCUUGGUGAAGCAUGAAGCGACUGAGCUCCCUCUCGAUCGUUUCCCUCUUGGUGAUCUUGGUCACCUCGUCUCCUUCGUGCACGAUCUUGAGCACGUCCCAAAUCUCUUUUGCGCUCUUCAACCCUUGCACCUUAUUAUACUCCUCUCGACUUAGAGAGGUGAGGAGUAUAGUAGUUGCUUGAGAGUUGAAGUGCUCGAUUUGGGCCACCUCGUCCUCAUCAUAAUCUUCAUCCCCUACGGUUGGUACCUGUACUCCAAACUCAACAACAUCCCAUAUGCUUUUGUGGAGUGAGGUUAGGUGAUAUCUCAUCAUAUCACUCCACCUAGAAUAAUCUUCACCGUCAAACGUCGGUGGUUUGCCUAAUGGGACCGAAAGUAAUGGAGUAUGUCUAGGAAUGCGAGGGUAGCGUAGGGGGAUCUUACUAUACUUCUUGCGCUCUUGGCGCUUAGAAGUGAUGGACGCGGCGUCGGAUCCUGAUGUAGAGGGCGAUGAAGAGUCGGUCUCGUAGUAGACCACUUUCUUCAUUUUCUUCUUCUCACCACUCUUGUGCGUCCUAAUGCGUGAAGGGGAUCCCUUCUUCUUUUUGUUGCCGGACUCCUUUGAUGGAGCCUUCCCGUGGCUUGUGGCCUUGGCGGGGCUUGUAGGCUUGUUCCCGCCGAUCACCAUCUCCUUCUUGGCGUGAUCUCCCGACAUCACUUCGAGCGGUUAGGCUCUAAUGAAGCACCGGGCUCUGAUACCAAUUGAAAGUCGCCUAGAGGGGGGUGAAUAGGCAAAUCUGAAAAUUACAAACUUAGCACACACUACAAGCCGGGGUUAGAGUUAGAAAUAUAAACGAGUCCAAAAGAGAGGGCAAAAAACAAAUCACAAUCAAAUAAGGCGGACAACACGGUGAUUUAUUUUACCGAGGUUCGGUUCUUGCAAACCUACUCCCCGUUGAGGUGGUCACAAAGACUGGGUCUCUUUCAACCCUUUCCCUCUCUCAAACGGUCACCUAGACCGAGUGAGCCUUUCUCUUCAAUCAAAUGGGACACUAAGUCCACUACAAGGACCACCACAACUUGGUGUAUCUUGUUUUGAUUACAAGUGAGUUGAACACAAGAAAGAAGGAAGAGGAAAAGCAAUCCAAGCGCAAGAGCUCAAAUGAACACAAAUAUCUCUCUCUCUAGUCACUAAUUUGGUUGGAGUGAUUCCGGACUUGGGAGAAGAUUUGAUCUCCUUGAUUGUGUCUUUGAAUGAAGUCUAGAGCUCUUGUAUGGGGUUUGAAGGCUGAAAACUUGGAUGCAAUGAAUGGUGGGUGGUUGGGGGUAUUUAUAACCCCAAUCACCAAAAUAGUCGUUGGUGAAGGCUGCUGUCGCAUGGCGCACCGGACAGUCCGGUGCGCCACUGGACACUGUCCGGUGCGCCAGCCACGUCACCCGACCGUUAGGGUUUGACCGUUGGAGCUUCUGACUUUUGGGCCACCGGACAGUCCGGUGGUGCACCGGACAGUCACUAUUCACUGUGUGGUGCGCCUUCUGGCGCUGCUCUGACUUCUGCGCGCGCAAGCGCGCACUUUUCACUUUUACUGUACCGUUGCAGACGACCGUUGGUGCUGUGGAGCCGUUACUCCGCUGGCACACCGGACAGUCCGGUGAAUUAUAGCGGAGCGGCUCCCAGAAUUCCCGAAGGUGGCAAGUUCGGAGUCGGGUUCCCUGGUGCACCGGACACUGUCCAGUGGCACACCGGACAGUCCGGUGCGCCAGACCAGGGCACACUUCGAUAGUCUUUUGCUCAUUUUAUUUGAACCAUUUCUUGGUCUUUUAUUGGUUUGUUGUGAACCUUUGGCACCUGUAGAACUUAUAAUCUAGAGCAAACUAGUUAGUCUAAUUAUUUGUGUUGGGCAAUUCAACCACCAAAAUCAAUUAGGGAAAGGUGUAAGCCUAUUUCCCUUUUAGAGGUUGGCUUGAAAGAGUAAGGAAUGAACUAUGUUGUUGAUGGUGCGUAGGCGGUAGGACACGUUCAGCGCGACCAUUUUGUUGGGAGGUGUAGGGACACGACAUCCGAAGGUGGACACCAUGUGAAAGAAAGAAGGUUCGAGUGUGGGAAUUGUCGAACUCACAACUGUUGUCACAUUGGAAGUUUUUAAUGGUAGUGCCAAAUUGCGUGGCGACAAAGGAGAAGAAGUGGGCAAUGGUGGGAAACGUGUCGGAUUUGAGGCGUAGGGGGAAUGUCCACAAGUAGUGGGAGCAGUCAUCAAGAAUGACGAGAUAGUAUUUAUAACCGGAAACACUAGGAAUUGGUGAGGUCCAAAGAUCGCAGUGCACAAGGUCAAAAUUGUGUAGAGCACGAGACUAGGAAGUAGAGAAAGGAAGGCACACAUGACGACCGAGUUGACAUGCGUGACAAAUGGCAUGCGUGUCAUUAUUACAAGUAAUGUAAGACAAACUAGCUAAGUGAUGAAGAGCGUCGCGGCCGAUGUGACCGAGGCGGCGAUGCCAUAGCUGGGAGAGGGCACUGGCGAGGAGGACACUUGGGGUAGCAGUGGAAGACAAUGGAGCGGAGAGCGGGUACAGGUCGCCUGAGCUAUUGCACCUGGUGAUUACGCUCUGUGUCCUGAGAUCCUUCACAGAAAUGCCAGCGGGGUCAAAUUCGACAGAGCAAUUAUUGUCGAUGGUGAAUUGACGAACAGACACAAGAUUUUUUAUGAUAGAGGGGGAAACAAGAACAUUAUUUAGGUGGAGAGGUCCGACUUGAGUCGAUCCCAUGGAGGUAAUGGGCAAGGUGGUCCCAUUACCAACAAUAAUAGGAGUAGAAGAGGUAGGAGGAUGGCAGUGGGACAAAAUACCAGAGGUGGAGGCCAUGUGAGCAGUUGCGCCAGAAUCCAUGUACCAAUCACCUGUUGGGGGAGUGAGCGUCAUGGUGUUGAAGGCGCCUGUGAGAGUGUGCUGAUCUUAGGGACCGAGAGGGCCAAAUGUGGUCUGUUCGGGAGUGGGAGACUGUUGGCCAGCCCAUGGAGUGCCUGGGGUAGCAGCCCAGGUGGGAGUGGGCCAAGUCUGCGUGCUAGGAGUGGGCCAAGUCUGUGCCAGGAGUGGGCCACGCGACUGGGGCCCAAGUGGUCGGAGCAGGGGGCAUGGGCCCAAUAGCGCCUGAAGGCCCACCCACAAGGGCUUGAGGAGCCUGGUGGGGGGAGGAGCGAGGAGGCCGAUUCCCCUGGGCCGGACUGGGCCACAUUUGAAUGGUUCCGGUCUAGGGGUUGUACACGCUGGGCCAGCCACCCUGGGUGGCCGUGUGUUGACCACGGGCGCCGCCAGAGGGUUUCCCACGCCGCCGACGGCGGCCGGAGUUGCCAGGAGCUUGAGGAGGCGGACCCGAGACGAGCGCGGUGGCAGGGAUGGGAGCCGACACCGGUGCAGAGGCGACGAGAGCGAAGGGAGCCGUCGACGCGCCCAUGGAGAGCUCUUCCAGAAGGAGUUCGGAGCGAACCUCGACGAAUGACGGGAAGGGGCGCUGCCGCUUCAGGUACGAGCGUAGGUGAGUGAACCUGUCGUUGAGGCCGCGUAGGAGGUUGAUGGUGAGCAGCCGAUCGGAGAUUGGCUCACCAAGUUCGACCAACGAGUCGGCAAGGGUCUUCAUCUUUCUGCAGUAGUUCGAGACGGAGAGAGCACCUUGGCAUAGGGUGCGGAACUCGGUGUCGACGAGGACGAUGCGGGUCUCCCGGUUGCCCACGAACUGCUCCUCGAGGGCGAGUCAGGUUCCGCGCACGGUGGGUUCGACGAUGGUGACGAUGUCGAAAAGUUCGGGCGAGAUGGAUCCGUAGAGCCAGGAGAGAACAUGAAGUUCCAUCUGGACACAGUGGGCGACGUCAGGGAAGGUGGCGUCACACAGGACGUGAUCGGCGAGUGCAUACUUGCUGAGGACGAGGAGGAUGAGGCGAUGCCACUUGGAGAAGGACGGCGUCGCGAGGUCGAGGACGACCGGAACGAGGCUGCGGAUGUGGAGGAUGCCGAGGGCCUGAGUGUGGAGAGCAGCCAUAGGGUCGUCACGGGUUCUGCCUGCUGGUGUGUCAACGUCGACGGUGUCCUCAAUCUCGCCGUGGGUGGUGGUGUCGGCGGACUGGAGACACUGGCGAGCAGCAGCAAGGGCCUGCUCGUGACGCGUAACGUCGUCGCAAGGCGACGUCAUUCGGUAGCCACGGCGGUCGCGCGGGCCUGGAGGGCGGCAGCCGUCUCAGCGGAGCGACGAUGGGCGGUGUCGACAACUUCCUGCUGGAGAUGGCGCUCCUCAGCGGCGCGGUGGUCGUCAGCGGCACGACGAGCAUCGGUAGCACGUCAGGCAGCGGCAUCAGCAUCGGAAGCAUCGGUGGCCAUGGUGGGAAGAUGGGGUGCAGAAGGGUGGGUCAAGGGAGGAACGCGACCUUCUAUGAUACCAUGAAGACGUACAGGAAAUGGGUAAUGUACUGAUUUGAUUAAUAUCAAUGAGGGCAUUAUAAUAUAUAGCCAAGCACUAGCCCAGUUUAUAGAAAUAGGAUCUAGGUAGGCAGGCAAGAAACUAGAGGAUUGAUAUCCUGGUAAUGGGUUUCUAUACAAGGUGAUAGCCUUCUAUGUAUUGCUUUCUAACAGAAAGCAACGAGAGGUGUGACCAAUUCGGCCAAAGACUGAGGACGCCGACGGCGAAGAUGGAAAAACCGAGAAGGGCAUCGUGGUGUCUUAGGUAAUCCUUGCGUGGCACAAUCGCUUCCUGAAGCUCGAGACCUCCACUGCGGACGUGUACUAAAGAAUCAGCUGCUUGUCUAAACUUGGACGAACGGUGGAUGGAGAUAGCUUGGUCGGUGGCAUGUAACAGGCAGAGAGGUGCGGCCUUGUGCAGUGCCUGAGCCCGAGUUUUGGACUCAAUUUAUCUCUCAAUUUCCAGUUAUGAUAAAGGAAUCGUCCCUAAUAGAAAUUGUGCACUAAGUAUAGCUCUAAACACUUUGUUAUAAAGAUCACUAGUUAAAACGCGAUGGAUUAAGAGAUAGAAAGCUCCAAAAAUUGAACAAAAUCACUGAAUUACGCAUUUCAGUUAACUGCAUCCCCAUGAUGGUACAAUACACACCCCCAAUCUGAAUUUUUAAAAUUACUUUCAAAUUUACAUAAGAACAUGAAAAUCUUUAAAAAUAAAAGCUGUUCAAAUUAUCAAGAUAUACAACUUUGAUAUUUGAACCACACCCAAAUUCCUUCUAGAUUUUGAAAUUUGAAUUCCGGGCAAAUUUGUUGAUUCAAAUGUGAGCUAAAUUUCUAUAUUAAACAAGAGUACUUGAAUAACACUCAAAGUAAAAGUUAUCUAUAUGACAAGACCUACCUUUAAUAUUUAAGGUCUAUAGCCAAAUCCCUAUCAUUUUGGAUGUUGAUAAUUCCAAUUUGAAAAUCAAACAAAAGUUUUGAACUUUAAACGCACUUUAACCUACAAGCACAUUGAACUUAGAUUAGCAUUGCCCUAGUUGAUGCAUUCUAGAGUUAAACAUUCAAAAUGCUUGCAAUGCAUAUGAUGACAUGUCCAAUUUUAGUUCACAUAACACUAGAGGUGUUACAAGCCAGCUGGCGCACCCGACCUCGCCCAAUGGUCAGCAACAGCUAGUUCAACGGUCACAUGAUCACCAGACCUUGGGUACGUUGCACCGGACCCCUACGACAGCGCAGAGCAUCUGCUAGAAGACCAAUGGCUAUCUGACGUGGAGGACACCAGAUCUCGGUCCGGUGGCACAUCAGACUAGUCCAGUGCGACGCAAAGAAGUCUGCUUUCUCCAACGUCUAUAUUUGGAGUGGGGCACUAUAUAUACCCCUCCUACCCGGCAUUUGAAGGUGUGGGAGCCCAGGUAACAUACCAAGUGAAGUGAGACACAUCUCCAUUGCUCCAAACACCCAAGUGCUUAAUAAAAUCACUUGGUGAUUAGCGUAGGUGCUUUGCGAAGUGCUUAGGUUAGUUAGAGCGAUAUGGUGCUCGCUCUAGGUUGUUCCUAAUAGAUUGAGUGAGGCUAGAAAAGUGACACAACCCCUCGGAUCUUACACGAGUCAUUGUACUUAUAUCGAGUGGGGCGACAAUCUUGUGAGACCACACCAAUCGAGUUUGUGGUGUGGCCACCAUCGUGUACGGGAGGGAACGAGGCCCAUAGUGUUUCAGUUAGAAGCUCGAUAGUGAAGGUGGUAGGGAGCGUCCGAGCGGAGGCCAAAAGCGGACCACCACUUGCAUGUGGAGAAGGCACACGACUCUCUACGGAGUUGUUCGACCGAGUGUUGGCCCUCGUGUGGGCUUCCCUUUGCGUAGGGACAUCAACGAGGAUUAGUUAGAAACUUGGGUGGUUCUAGAUAACUCGGUAAAAAUAACAGCGCAUUGAUGGGUGUUUGCAUCUCUACCUUUCCCUUUAAGCUUCUACAUUUAUUGUUUACUUAAGUCACAAUCUUUACCAUUCUUAGUUUAGAAUAUAGGCUAGUUGGUAGAAUUGGAACUCAGGUUACAUAACUCAUCUUGUGGUAAAGAUAGCAACACUUAGACAAAAUCGUAGUCCACAUUCUUGUUUAGCUACUUGUGUAGGUUUUGUUUAGGAGAAUUAUUAUUGGCCUAGUUUAGAGUAAGAAAAUAGAAGCCCUAAUUCAACCCCUCCCCUCUUAGGCAUCUGUGUUCCUUUCAGGGUUGCAGUCUUCACACGACAAACUUGAGAUGUUUUCAUGGACUUGGUGUCAACUCAGUCAGGAGCUUUACCUCGUGCUUCUAAGGUAGAAGAUGCUAUCUAGGCUCUCUUCUUCUAUGACCUCGCCUUACGGCUUGAUGCCUUCACCCUUUGUUCGAUGGCAAUCUAUGUGAGCUUCAACUUUAUCAUUAAGGUUUUGAGGCUAACUAUAUACGACAUCACUAGUGUCAAGUCGACCUUAAGCGUUGGAGUGCUUUGAGGAGCUUUGGAAUGAAAGGUGCUCAAUUGGUUGCAUUGUUCGACUUUGGGUCUAAUGGCGAAAGACUCCUCCUUGCCAUUGAUAUAGAGUUGGACUAAGCCAACCCCAACAUCAAUGCUUGCAUUGACAGUGUUGGAGACUUGUUCUCAAAUGCUAUGAGUUAAGAACAAGGCAACACAAAAUGUUAAAGGUUAAUGCCAUUCGUCCUUCGAAGCAUUAUCUCCCUUAGGAUUUAAUGAUCUUCAGACGAAGGUCAUGAAGGAAGUACCUUCAUCAUCACAAUAUAUGUUAACAAAAGAGGCAACAUAUGAAAUAUGGAAGAUAAGACGAACAAUCAUAUGACAUCACCAAUAUAACUUUAUUAUCUCAUCGUGGAUGGACAAGAACAACAUUGAAUUACAUUUGUACCUUCGGCUCGAUAGAAGGCAAAAGUCCAAGCGUGACGCAUGAGCGAAUACAAGUCAGCGUGAACAGUACGGGGGUACUGUUCAUCUAUUUAUAGGCACAGGCGCAGCCUGUAUAAAAUUACAUUCAUGUUUACAAUUGACUUAAGCACAAUCUAUCGAGGACUAAAUAGCCUUUUCCUCUUUAAGUCGGUUCCUUUUUCUGCUACUGAGCCAAAGCUUCCUUGCGCAUAGCUUCGGAAUUGAUUCGACCUUCGUCCCGAUCAUGCUUUCCAUAUUGUGGAUAGCUUCGUUCCAAGUCCGAAGGUUCCUGUACUUAUAUUUCACUUGGAAAACAUUGUUAAUUAUGUUUUUGAGGACCUUCGGAAGACGAAGGCCCCCAACAGUAGCCCCUCGCAGUAUUAAUUUGUUAUAAUAACGAAUUUAGACUGCGAUGUGAACGAAGGCCUUAAGCCGAAGGUCCGAAAAAACACCUUCCCUUUGCUAGAAUAGCAACAGUCAAUGACAGACGGGGCCCUUCAAGUUGCAACGCACUGGGCGUAUAAACAUGAACCCACACCGGCAGCAUUUGGCACGCCAUUUCUGCCAUUUGUGUUAUUGUGUCAAAUUUUUUAGCUCUUGUUCACUAGCUCUUGCCUGAUUCUCGAGCUUUUCGAGCUUCGGUUUAAAGACGUGUUUUCACCAUGUCUGGGGAAAAGAUGACUGAGCAAAAGAAGAUGACUGCGGAGACAAAGCUAACUGAGGAAACGAAGUUGUUUGAAGAAAAGAAAGCCGCAGAUCCUUUUAUCGCCAGGUUUAUUGAGUCUAUGUCAAAAACAAACACAGAGAAGAUUACUAAAGAGAUACUGGAAAGUUUGUCUGAAGAUACUGAUGACAGUGAUAGUUAUGAUGUGGAAAGUGGGGAUGAAGAUUCUGAAGAUCGGCCCUGGCGACCAAGCCAUGCUGUCUUCGGAAAAUCGACUAUUAAACAGAGUCAUCUUGACAACAUGAGAGGAAGGUACUUUCGUGACAUGUCUAUCAUGAGAGUUGGCGGAGACAACAUUGUUCCUGCCCCUAAGGAAAAUGAAGUUGUUAUCUAUCGAAGCUUUUUUAAGGCUGGUGUUCGGUUCCCUUUAAGCAAGUUUGUGGUUGAAGUGCUGAAGAUAUACCAGAUCUUCCUUCAUCAGAUCACCCCCGAAGCUAUAAUGAGGAUGGGGAUUUUUGUCUGGGCUGUAAGGAGUCAGGGGCUAGAGCCAAGCGCGAAGUGCUUCUGUAGUAUGCACGAGCUUUUAUAUGAGACGAAGGCUACUGGCAAAGCACAGUACCACAACAACUUCGGUUGUUAUGGAUUUAUUGCUCGCCCCAAUGCAAGCCACCCAGUGCCAACAUUCCGGAAAAGAUGGCCCGGGGCCUGGAUGGAGGAGUGGUUUUACGUUAAAAAUGAUUUAAAGGCAAGGGAAGACAUCAAAGAAAUCAUCCAGCGCCCCAUCUGGUCUCGCUUCGGCCUCCGAAGGCCGAAGGUGGAAAUUGAUGACGCUGUUGAAGCAUGUCAGAGGGCUUUUAGCACUGUUUGUGCCUUUAUUGGCACAAGGGAUUUGAUUCAAGAGCAUAUAUCCUUCAGGGUAUGGCCACUUGUGGAAAGCUGGGAUAUGCCAAAGGAGACCACCGACGAUUCUAGUGAUGGUGGUCUGGUCCGACUGAAGUAUACCUUCAGAUUUAGGGAGAAGUUUGAUGAGCCAGACGACGACUGGCUGAAGUGUAUCGAAGCUACUAGUGAUGAGCUACUUGGAGCUUACUCCAAGGCUAAAGAUAAUGCUUUGUCCGCAGCCUUCGAGGGCCGGGGGAAGAAAAGACUGAACAAGGUCUUUGAUGCAAUUGGCUUCAAAUACCCUGAUUAUCGCUACCCGCUGCGAGGGCAAGGAAAAAAGAGGAAGACUGCCACUUCGGCCACCACAGUUGUGUCGAAGGGCAAAAAGGUGAAGGUUCUGACCCACCGACCGCGUUAUAUUGAACCAGCCGUGGUGCCUGAAUUUGUCGAAGGAGCCUCUUCGACUGCCGAAGCAAGACAAGCUGCUCCUAUUGCACAGAGCGUUGAAGAACCAACUGUAAUGCCGAAGACGCCUAUAGUCGAGCCAGUCGAAGCUAAGGUUGAUAAGGCUGAAGAGCCAAAGGUUGAAGAAAUAAUGAAAAUACCAGAAAUUCUGAGCCCUCCAACAGAGGCAAAACUGCUGAAGGUGCAAAAGGCUUCUGCCGCGACUCCCAAGUGGAGGAGGAUGGCCAACAUGCUGGAUGCUGUGCUGGAGACUACAAAGGCCUUGAGCCCUGCUCCUUCAAAGAAAAUUGCUGAAGCUGCCAAAGCGCAAGCCGAAGCCGAAGCUGGGCAAGCAGAAGCCGAAGCUGGGCCCUCAAUGCCUAGUGAGAUGAAGGCUAUCACACCUGAAGACGAAGUUGAUCAGCAAACUUCGGAUGCUGUCAUGACAGGAUGGCAAGACACAACAGAGAAGGCAAAAUCUCCUGCCCCUAAAGCCGCGGUCGAGGAUGCUAAUUAUAUUUAUCGUCAUGCUUCGGGGAAAAAGUUGUCCGAAGAAGAAGUUUUGGAAGCCAGACACUAUGCGCGAAAAUUGAAAUAUUGAAAGGAGCUUUAGUGUUUAACUACACUAAUGAUGACGACUUCUUAUAUUGUCUCCCGGACAACAAAGAAAUAUCCGUUUGCCGGGAGAUAGCUAAGAGUAUGGGAUUCCCGAAGCUGGAAGAUGGCCUUUCGAUUUUGUCGAAGGAUGAUCUUGCUGACAGCCUAGCAUACAAAAGUAUAAAGGUAUAAAAGUUAACUUUUAAGUUGGAAACAAAGUAUUUCAUUGUCAUACUCAAUUCUUUCUUCUUUUUUACAGGGCUUGAUUCUUAGUAAUGCCUUGAGGGCACAAAAGAAUACUAAAGAUGAGAGCUGUAUAAUGGCUCUUAACAACCUUCGGUCCGAGGUGAUUGAACUAAGAAACAAUGGUAUAGAGAAAGAUAAAAUUUUGAUUUCAUUGGUAAACAAAGUAAAAGAAGACGAAGCUAAUUAUAAAGCUCAGGCCGAAGCCAAGAAAACCGAAAUUGAAGAUCUUCGGAGAUAGCUGGCCGAAGCUAAAGAAAAUUGCGCGCUCGCACAGGCUAACCGAGAGAUCAGCGAGUACUGGAAAAAUUAUCUAGAGAAAAAUAUCGAAGAACUUCGCGAAUCCAAGGAAAGGUGCUUCGAGAAAUCCUCGGAUUGUGUGAAGAAAUUGAAAACUAGCUUCGCCAAAGUGGGUGCCUACUCUGCUGAAGAAAACUUCAUACGAGGCGACCCCGAGGGCAUCGUUGAAUGGAUAAGUGGAGAAGUCGAAGCCUUCGAAGAAAUUUUGAGUGAUCGCGGGGAUGUCUGCACGUUUUUCGGUGCGUGGGGAAUUUCAGCCAUCUUGGAGAAGGCCGGAUGUGAUCACAUUAAAGCCAUAGCCCAGGCCGAAGCUGCCUUCUCCGUAGAUUAUACGAAGGAUCCAUCAGCUAAAGCAACUUUAAUGGGCGGGAACUUUUAUAAUGAUGUGUGGGUGAAUGGUGGCCGAGAACUGGCCCAUGAGAUUAUAAAAAAGAGUGAAAAAGACACCCAUGACGCUCGAGAAGAAGCAAAACGAGCUGAAGAGGCUGCAGAACGUGAAAGGCGUAUAGGUAUUAUUUUUUGGUUUUUAGCUUCGGUAUUUGUUUUGUGGCUUCAGACUAAUUAAUUUUACCUACUUCAGCUUAACUAUCUCCGCCGCCGGAACCAUACGAUCCCCUAGCUGAUCCAGAAAUGAAGGAAGUGCUGGACAUUAUAAAUAUGGCAGAUUCCAUUAUUGACGAAGUUGUCAACAAACUUUUAAACAAAGUUGCGAAAAAAGUUCUCAGAGAAGAAUAACCUCAUUGUAAAAAUAUUUUGAAAUGGUCGAUGUAUGAGACAAUAGAAUGAACAUCAAGCUUCUAUUGUAACAAGACUAUAAUAUUUGAUGUAUGUAACUUUGAAUCGAAUAUGUAAAUUAUUGUAAUUUAUUUCUUUGCGAUGCAUGAAACUUACAUACAUACCAUUUUUGAGCCUUCGGCGAAAAAAACACCUUCCCUUCUUUUCAUGCUUCGUAAAGAAAGAGAUCCCUUCUUGUGACAAGGAUGAUAAGACUGUAUUUCCCGAAGCUUACUUCAUGCCUUAGCACAUUUUCACUUUGACGAAGCAUUUGCCGAAGAUCAGCUCCGUAUUCGAUUCUUGUGUCAUUGAUGCAAUAUGAUGUAUGAUGUGAUGUUAUGCGAAAUGAUGUGAUGAUGUGAUGCAAAAUGAUGAAGAUGUCGAAGACACACACCCACACGCCCACACUGGAACACACAAGCUCUGCAUCCCCUUAGGAACGACUUUUGAGCUCUUUCACCUUCUGUUUCGGUGAUAUAAUUUCUGCAUCCCCUUAGAAGCGUCUUUUGAACUUCUUUGCCUUCUAUUUCGGCGGUAUAAAUUUUGCAUCCCCUUAGGAACGACUUUUGAACUUCUUCGCCUUAUAUUUCGGCGGUAUUUGGCUCUGCAUUCCCUUUGGAACGACUUUUGAGAAGAAAACUUACGCUGCGCUCCCUUAGGAACGGCUUUUUGUAGUUUCAUCAAAUUUGGCUCUACAUUCCCUUAGGAACGACUUUUGAGCACGAAACUUACACUAUGCUCCCUAAGGAACGGCUUUUUGUAGCUUCGUUUAUGUUGGCUCUGCAUUCCCUUAGGAAUGACUUUUGAGCUUCGUAAAUCUAUGAAGAAGAUAUAUUUCAUUCUGAUAGAAGCAGAAUCAUUACAAGAAAUUAAAACUAAGUUUUCAUUGUUUGUUCCUUAUUCAAAAAGUAAAAUAGCCUAGAAGGUAAAAGUAUUUCAGAAGCAGGAUAUUGCUCAGUAUAUGUGUUUUGAUUCUGGUACAGUACUAUUGACUGUACGAGCUUCAGACUCCUCCCUGAAGUCACGUUGUUGUUGGGAAUGCUGACGCCCUUCUGGUUGCUAGCUUCUGGAAUAGGUAGGCUGCAGUGGUGGUGGCGGUGGGAGCUGAGGCCAAGAAGCUUGUGAAUGGCUUGCCGAAGCAACAGAAGCAGCAGGUUGGUUGCCCACUUAUUCUGGUAUGUAAGGAGAGUGGCACGAAGUAGUAUGUAAAACCUGCUUCGGCUGAUUCUGCCGAGCUUCUGCUUCGGCAAUCUCUUUUUGCUUCAGAAUAGUGAUCUGGCACGUUCUUGUAGUAUGGCCCUUGUCCUCUCCAUAGAAUAAGCAAUAGAUUUUCCUAGGCUGAUCCCCAUGUCUUCCUCCGAAGCCCCUGCCGCCUCUGCCCCUUGGAGCUGGUGGCCUGAAGGAGCUUUGCUGCUGUCCCGAAGACUGUGAUGUGUGUUGUGGCCUCUGAAGCUGGCUUACUUUGUCAUCAUUUUGACUGGAGCUGUGGAUUGAUCUGACAUGCCUAGGGUGGAUUCUCCCUCCGAAGCCCCUAGUCAUCUCAGAAAAUCUAUAAGCUUCCUCCCUUCUUUGUCGGAAGUUGUUAUCAGCUCAGAUGUACUCAUCCAUUUUCUAAAACAGCUUCUCCAGAGUCUGGGGGGGUUUCCUGGCGAAGUAUUGGGUCGUAGGUCCUGACCAAAGACCCUUGAUCAUGGCCUCAAUGACGAUUUCAUUAGGCACUGUGGGCGCUUGUGCUCUCAGUCGCAAGAACCUUCGGACAUACGCCUGAAGGUAUCCUCAUGGUCUUGUGUGCACUGGAACAAGGCCUGAGCUAUGACUGGCUUCGUCUGAAAGCCUUGAAAACUGGUAACCAGCAUGUCCUUGAGCUUCUGCUAUGAUUGUCCCUAGCCGGAGAGAAGAGUACCAUGUCUGGGCCACGUUUCGGAUUGCCAUGACAAAGGACUUUGCCAUGACAGCUGCGUUGCCUCCAUACAAGGAUAUUGUUGCCUCAUAGCUCAUCAAGAAUUGCUUUGGGUCCGAGUGCCCAUCGUACAUGGGUAGCUAAGGUGGCUUGUAGGAUUGUGGCCAUGGGAUAGCCUGUAAUUCUGCUGCAAGGGGAGAAGCAUCAUCAAAAGUAAAGGUACCAUGAUUAAAAUCAUCGUACCAUUCAUCUUCGUUGAAUGAGCCUUCUUGACGAAGCUCCCUGUGUUGGGGGCCUUCAAUCAUGAUCAUCUUGAGUAAGAUGACACACUUCCUCAGUAGCUUCAUCGAUCUUCUUCUGAAGGUCGGCCAGCCGAGCCAUCUUCUCUUUUUUCCUUUGCACCUGCUGGUGAAAGAUUUCUAGGUCCCUGAUCUCCUGGUCCAACUCCUCCUCCUGAAGUGUUGGACUGGCGGCCUUUCUCUUUUGGCUUCUGGCCUCUCGGAGAGAAAGAGUCUCCUCGUUUGUGUCCAGUGGCUGUAGUGCAGCCCCUGGCGCUAUUAUCUUCUUCGGUGGCAUGACGAAGGUUGAUGCUUUGCCGAAGAUUUUGGAAGUGAGUACACCGGAGGUGGGCACCAAUGUUGGAGACUUGUUCUCAAAUGCUAUGAGUUAAGAACAAGGCAACACAGAAUGUUAAAGGUUAAUGCCCUUCGUCCUUCGAAGCAUUAUCUCUCUUAGGAUAUAAUGAUCUUCAGACGAAGGUCAUGAGGGAAGUACCUUCAUCAUCACAAUAUAUGUUAAUAAAAGAGGCAACAUAUGAAAUAUGGAAGAUAAGACGAACAAUCAUAUGACAUCACCAAUAUAACUUUAUUAUCUCAUCAUGGAUGGACAAGAACAACAUUGAAUUACAUUUGUACCUUCGACUCGAUUGAAGGCAAAAGUCCAAGCGUGACACACGAGCGAAUACAAGUCAGCGUGAACGGUACGAGGGUACUGUUCAUCUAUUUAUAGGCACAGAGCGCAGCCUGUAUAAAAUUACAUUCAUGCCCUUCAUGUUUACAAUUGACUUAAGGACAAUCUAUCGAGGACUAAAUAGCCUUUUCCUCUUUAAGUCGGUUCCUUUUUCUGCUACUGAGCCGAAGCUUCCUUGCGCAUAGCUUCGGAAUUGAUUCGACCUUCGUCCCGAUCAUGCUUUCCAUAUUGUGGAUAGCUUCGUUCCAAGUCCAAAGGUUCCUAUACAUAUAUUUCACUUGGAAACAUUGUUAAUUAUGUUUUUGAGGACCUUCGGAAGACGAAGGCCCCCAACAGGCAGUACUAAAAAAAUGGUCGCCCAAGGAUGAGUAGUGUCUUUGUGUCAAGAGGGAACGAGGCACGUGGUGUUUCAAUCAGAAGCUCAAUAAUGAAGACGGUGGGGAGCAUCCGAGAGGAGGUUAGAAACGGAGCACCACUUGCGUGUGGAGAAGACUCAUGACUCUUUACGGAGUUACUCGACUAAGAAGCUUGGCCCUCACGUGGUGAAGCGUCCCAAUCCUCUUGUAUUAAAAUGUGAUACAUAUACUAGUCCCAGGAAGCUACUAUCCGCAUUUAUACAUCAAAUGGUUCUAGAUCUGCUUAAAUGAGAUAAACUUAUACAGGUGGCGAUCAACUUUAAGAGUUGGUCCGCAACUCGGGACAUAUCAUUAGAGUGGGGCUGAAGCAGCCCAAUAUACGUAACUAAGCAAAUAAGCGGUCCAACAACCACAAGCAUGGUUGGGAAACAUGCGUAACUUUUACCCGAUCAACGAUCUCCUCCUCUGAAAACAACAAAUAAGCAAGAGUGAGUACUUACGUACCCAUCAGCCCACCUUCACCCACGGAAUGGGGAAAUCAGAUAUAAUGCAUGGAGUAUGUGGAGCUUAGGGUAUUUUGUAGAAAAGGUAGUUUUUGAUGCAGGGCUAUUUUGUAAAACAUUUUAUCAUUUUCAAAGUGCAUCCUCUCCCAAGGGAACAGGAAAUUUUUUAAAAUAGAACCAAAAAUACCUGGACUAAACCAUUCACUUAUCUUGGUAGUUUCCCACUCGUUUUUUUUCAAAAACCGUUACUGGAUUUCUCAUCCAUCAUAACUCACAGCUCAACCGUCGAACCUUUUAAAACCAUUUUUCAAAACAUUUUGGAAAACAAAACAGUAAUUGUCAAAUCCAUACUAUAACUGAAAGUCACCUAGAGGGGGGUGGAUAGUCAGAAUCUGAAAUUUACAAACUUUAAGCACACUACAAGCCGAGGUUAGCGUUAGAAUAAAAGCCAAGUCCGGGAGAGAGGGAGAAAACAAAUCAACCAAGAAAUAAAGCGGAUGACACAGUGUUUUGUUCUACCAAGGUUCGGUUCCAAAGAACCUAGUCCCCGUUGAGGUGGUCACAAAGACCGGGUCUCUUUCAACCCUUUCCCUCUCUCAAACGGUCACUUAGACCGAGUGAGCUUUCUUCCUUGAUUUCUCAGGUCACUUAUACCCCGCAAGGACCACCACACAAUUGGUGUCUCUUGCUUCGCUUACAAGGCUUUGAGAGUAAGAAUGAGAGAAAGAAGAAAGCCAACCAAGCAACAAGAGCAACAAAGAACACAAGAUGAUCUUCUCACAAGUCCUAAAAUACUACAGUUUAAUUGUGGACUUUGAUUGGAUCGGAGGCUUUGAUUUGUGUCUUGGAGUGUUGUAGUUUGCUCUUGUAUUGAAUGAGGAGUAGUGAAUGCUUGGAUGGUUGGAGUGGAGAUGGUUGGGGGGUAUUUAUAGCCCUCAACCAUCAAUUCAACCGUUGGGGCAGGCUGCUGUCGAUGGGCGCACCGGAUAGUCUGGUGCGCCAGCCACGUCACCCAACCGUUAGGGUUCCGACGGUUUCUACCGUUGGAGCUUUGUCUUCAUGUGGCUCUAGACAGUCUGGUGCCACACCGGACAGCUACUGUUCACUGUCUGUUGCGCCUCUAGCGGCUGCUUUGGCUAGAGAGAAAGUUUUGCUCGUGUUCUUUGAGCUCUUGUUCUUGGAUCGCUUUCUUCUUCCUCAUUCUUGUUCUCAAGACACUUGUAAUCAAAGCAAGAGACACCAAGUUGUGGUGGUCCUUGUGAGGGGUCUAAGUGACCCGUUUGAUUAAGGAGAAAGCUCACUCGGUCUAGGUGACCGUUUGAGAGAGGGAAAGGGUUGAAAGAGACCCGGUCUUUGUGACCACCUCAACGGGGAGUAGGUUCUCAAGAACCGGACCUCGGUAAAACAAAUCACCAUGUCAUCCGCUUCAUUUGCCUUGAUUUGUUUUCACCCUCUCUCUCGGACUUCGAUUUUAUUCUAACGCUAACCUCGGCUUGUAGUUGUGCUUAAUUUCUAUAAAUUUCAGUUUCCGCCUAUUCACCCCUCUCUAGGCGACUUUCAGCGCGCACUGUUCAUGUUGCAGGCGACCGUUGGAGUCGACCGUUGUGCUGGCUAGCCGUUGCUCUGGUGGCACACCGGACAGUCCGGUGGCACACCGGACAGUCUGGUGAAUUAUAGCGGAGCGCGGCCUCAGAAACCCGAAGGUGAAGAGUUGGAGUCGAUUGCCCCUGGUGCACAGGACACUGUCCGGUGGUGCACCGGACAGUACAGUGCGCCGGACCAGGGUUCUCUUUGGUUUUUUGCUCCUUUCUUUUGAAACCCUAACUUGAUCUUUUUAUUGGUUUAUUUUGAACCUUUAGCACCUAUAGAAUAUAUGAUCUAGAGCAAACUAGUUAGUCCAAUUAUUUGUGUUGGGCAUUCAACCACCAAAAUCAUUUAUAGGAAAAGGUUAAACCCUAUUUCUUUUUCAAUAUCCCCCUUUUUGGUGAUUGAUGCCAACACAAACCAAAGCAAAUAUAUAAGUGCAAAAUUGAACUAGUUUGCAUAAGGUAAGUGCAAAGGUUGCUUGGAAUUAAACCAAUUUUAUAGUUUCAUUAGAUAUGCAUGGUUGCUUUUUUUUUAUUUAACAUUUUGGACCACGCUUGCACCACUUGUUUUGUUUUUGCAAAUUUUUGGAAAUUCGUUUUCAAAGUCUUUUGAAUUUAGUCAAAGGUAUAUGAAUAAGAUUGCGAGAAGCAUUUUUAAUAUUUUGAAAUUUUCUCCCCUUGUUUCAAAUGCUUUUCCUUUGACUUAACAAAGCUCCCCUUAAAUGAAAUUCUCCUCUUAGCAUUCAAGAGGGUUUUAAUAGAUAUCAAUUGUAAGUAUAUUUAGAUACUAGUUUUGAAAAUACUAACCAAUUGAAAACAUACCAAUUUUGAAAUAUUAAAAAUUUUCGAAAGGUGGUGGUGCGGUCCUUUUGCUUUGGACUAAUACUCUCUCCUCCUUUGGCAUGAAUCACCAAAAACGGAGACUUAGUGAGCCCUUUAUACUUUUCUCUCCCAUUGGUACAAGUAGAUAUGAGUGAAGAUUAUACCAAUCGAAGAGUGGUGUGGAGUGACGGCGAACGAUAAAUGAUACCGAUAGAGUGGAGUGGAAGCAUUGUCUUCGUCGAAGACUCCAUUUCCCUUUCAAUCUAUGACUUAGCAUAGAAAUAUACUUGAAAACACAUUAGUCGUAGACAUAAAAGAGAUAUGAUCAAAGGUAUAUGCAUGAGCUAUGUGUGCAUUGUUUCAAUCAAAAUUCCGAGAAUCAAGAAUGUUUAGCUUAUUCCUAAGUUUGGUAAAGGUUUUCUCAUCUAAUGGUUUGGUAAAGAUAUCGGCUAAUUGUUCCUUGGUGCUAACAUAAGCUAUCUCGAUAUCCCCCUUUGUUGGUGAUCCCUCAAAAGUGAUACCGAAUGUCUAUGUGCUUAGUGCGGCUGUGUUCAACGGGAUUAUCUGCCAUGCGGAUUGCACUCUCAUUGUCACAUAGGAGAGGGACUUUGCUGAAUUUGUAGCCAUAGUCCCUUAGGGUUUGCCUCAUCUAAAGUAAUUGCGCGCAACAAUGGCCUGCGGCAAUGUACUCGGCUUCGGCGGUGGAAAGAGCUACUGAGUUUUGUUUCUUUGAAGCCCAAGACACCAGGGAUCUCCCCAGAAACCAAGUCCCUGAUGUCCUCUUCCUAUCAAUUUUACACCCUGCCAUCGACAUGUGAAUAUCCUAUUAAAUCAAAGGUGGAUCCCUUGGGGUACCAUAGUCCAAACUUAGGUGUGUAAACUAAAUAUCUCAUGAUUCUUUUCAUGGCCCUGAGGUGGACUUCCUUAGGAUCGGCUUGGAACCUUGCACACAUGCAUACGGAAAGCAUAAUAUCCGGUCGAGAUGCACAUAAAUAGAGUAAAGAUCCUAUCAUCGACCGGUAUACCUUUUAAGCUACGGACUUACUGAAAGGGAAAUGUGUCCUUGGGCCAUUUCUAUAAUAUUUUGGUGAUUAAGUGUCCAACACAUAGUAAGUGAUUAGCUAUGUGCCAAAACAAGCAAGAAGUGCAAAUCAUGUAACAAGGUACGUUUCUAGACUUAGUAUAUUGUUUUGAGUACUAACAUAUUUUGUCUAAGUACUAGAAACAGGGAGAAAAGAAUUGGAAAAAGACUUGGCUCUGUGCAGCCAAUUCUCAGCUCAGUCUGGCACACCGGACUGUCCGGUGGUGCACCGGACAGUGUCCGGUGCGCCAGGCUGGUCUCCGGUGAAUAGGCCGCUCUCAGGAAAAGUUUGGCGGCGUAUGGCUAUAAUUCACCGGACUGUCCGAUGAGCCAACGGUCGCCAGCGCAACGGUCGGCCGCGCAAUCCGCGGGCGACGCGUGGCCCGCACCAACGGUCGGCAGGGGGCACCGGACUGUCCGGUGUGCACCGGACAGUGUCCGGUGCGCCAACGGGCUCGAAGCUGCAACGGUCGGGUGCGCCAGAAAAGGAAGGAGAUCGCACACUGGACAGCUACAGUGACUGUCCGGUGGUGCACCGGACUGUCCGGUGCACCACCCGACAGAAGGCAAGUUUGGCCUUCCUUGUUGGCUUCCAACGGCUCCUAGCUGUCUUGGGGCUAUAAAAGGGACCCCUAGGCGCAUGGAGGAGCUACACAAGCAUUCACUAAGCAUCCUAAGGCAUCUAGACUCUGUUCCCGCGCAUUCGUUUCAUUGUGUUAGAGAUUUGAGCUCUAUUCGAGUCAAGGACUCCCUGUGUUGUCAUUUGAGCUCAAGUCUUCUCUUGUGUGCGUGGGUGUGCUGUGAUUUGUGUCUUGUGUGUGUUGCUCAUCCCAACCUUACUCCGUGCUUUCAUUGUGAUCUUUGUUGUAAGGGCGAGAGACUCCAAUCUUGUGGAGAUUCCACGCAAAUGGGAAUAAUCAUCUAAAGGAAAAACCGUGGUAUUCAAGUUGAUCAUCAGAUCACUUGAAAGGGGUUGAGUGCAACCCUCGUCCAUUGGGACGCCACAACGUGGAAGUAGGCAAGUGUUACUUGGCCGAACCACGGGAUAAAAUCGCAUGUCUUGUGUUGAUCUCUCUGUGAUUAUUUGUGUUCACAAGAACUCGCUUCAAGUUAUUUAGCCGUACUAACACUCAUAACUAAGUUUUGUGGCUAUUAGUGUUUGAAUUUUACAGGAUCACCUAUUCACCCCCCUCUAGGUGCUCUCAAUUGGUAUCAGAGUCGUACUCUUCAUCUAAGGGACUAAUCGCCCGAAGAGAUGGAUCCUAAGGUAAAGGGGAUGGUGGUCAAUGACAAAGAGAAGGAGUCCCUCUUCAAUGAGCCAAGGGAUGACAAACCCACUGACUCAGGAUUGAGUCACAAGAAGAGGGACGGGAAAAAGAAGAGGCACAUCAAGAAGAUCAUUUACUACGACAGCGAUGCCUCCUCUUCUUCACCAAGAGACAACGACGAUGAUGACUCGUCGAAAAAGAGAACAGUUAAUCAAAACUACUCUUUUGACUAUUCUCGCAUGCCUUACAAUUCUAAUGCUCAUUUGCUAUCAAUUCCACUUGGGAAACCUCCCCACUUUGAUGGAGAAGAUUAUUCUUUCUGGAGUCAUAAAAUGCGUAGUCAUUUAUUUUCUCUCCAUCCUAGUAUUUAGGAAGUUGUCUGUUGGGGACUUGUUCUCAAAUGCUAAGAGUUUAAGAACAAGGCAACAUAGAAAGUGUUAAAUAUUAAAGUCCUUUGUCCUUCGAAGCAUUAUCUCCCUUCGGAUAUAAUGAAUUCCGGACGAAGGUUAUGAAGGGAAAACCUUCGUAAGCACAAUAAAUGAUGAAGAAGGAUUCAUAUGCAAGAUAUGAAAAAUAACAUAAACACUUUUAACAUUAUUAUCAACUUAUUUUUAUUUGUGUUACUAUAUCAACAAUAAUAAAUUAUAAAUGUACCUUCGGUUCAAAGGAAAGCAAGGGUACAAGCGUGAUGCGAAAGCGAAUGCCAAGUCAGCGUGAACAGUACGGGAGUACUGUUCAUCUAUUUAUAGGCACGGGUCGCAGCCCAUGCAAAAUUACAUUCAGACCCUUUGCUUUUGAUAAUAAUUCUAUAGUAAUCUAUCAGGGUCUAAAUAGUCUUUUCCUCUUUAAGUCGGUUUCCUCUUUUCUGCCAUCACGCCGAAGCUUCCUUGCGCAUAGCUUCGGCUCUGUUCCAUCCUUCGUUCUUGUUUCGUGCUUCUUCACGCUAUGGUUUCAAUUCAAGUCCGAAGGUACCUGUUCAUGCUUUAUACUUCCAGAAACAUUGUUAAAUCAUAUUUUUGAGGACCUUCGGAAGCCGAAGGCCCCCAACAUUGUCAAAAACGGAAUGCACUUUGAUAGUACUGACAAUGCCGUUGUUAUAAAUGAGCAAAUUCAUAAGAAUGCCCAAGCUACUACUGUGUUGCUAGCAUCUCUUUGUAGGGUUGAGUAUAAUAAGGUGAGUGGCUUGGACAAUGCCAAGCAAAUUUGGGAUACCCUCAAGAUAUCACAUGAGCAUGAUCACCAAAAUGGAGUUGGUGGAAGGCGAGCUAGGAAGAUUUGCUGUGAUCAGGGGAGAGGAGCCAACUCAGACCUACAACAGGCUCAAGACCCUCAUCAACAAGAUUAGAAGCUAUGGAAGCACAAGAUGGACGGACCACGACGUUGUCCGACUCAUGCUAAGGUCAUUCACGAUAAUUGACCCCCAUCUUGUCAAUCUUAUUCGUGAAAAUCCCAGGUACACCAAGAUGACACCCGAGGAGAUUCUUGGAAAAUUCGUGAGCAGGCGCAUGAUGGUGAAAGAAGCACGAUAUGUAGACGAUGCGCUUAAUGGUCCACUACCCGUCUACGAGCCACAACCCGUUGCUCUCAAAGCAACAAGCAGCAAGGAGGCGCUACAAAGCAAGGUGGCACAAGUUGAGGCUGCCGGGCUAAACGAAGAUGAGAUGGCCCUAAUCAUCAAGCGCUUCAAGACCGCACUGAAAGGACGCAAGGAGUACCCUAGCAAGAACAAAGCAAAGGGAAAGCGCUCCUGUUUUAAAUGCGGUAAGACUGGUCAUUUCAUAGAUCAAUGCCCCGAUAAUGAUAAUGACCAGGAACAAGAAAAGUAUGGGAAGAAAAAGAAGAAGAAGAAUUACAAGAAGGCGAAGGGUGAGGCACAUCUUGGAAAGGAAUGGAACUUCAACUGCUCUUCAUCCGACUCUGAUGAUGAAGGAUUGGCUGCCUCAGCCUUCGACAAAUCUUCGCUCUUCCCCAACGAACACCAUAUGUGCCUUAUGGCUAAGGAAAAGAAGGUAUGUAUUCGAAACACUCCCAAGUAUACUUCUUCUUGUGAUGAAGAGUCAUCUGAUGAUGAAGUAGACUAUACCGAUUUGUUUAAAGGCUUAGAUAGAAACAAAGUAGACAAAAUUAAUGAAUUAAUUCAUGCCCUUAAUGAAAAGGAUAGAUUGCUAGAGAAGCAAGAUGGCAUUUUAUAUGAAGAACAUGACAAAUUUGUUAGUGUACAAAAAUCUCUUGCUUUAGAAACUAAGAGAAAUGAAGUGCUAUCUUCUGAAUUAUCUGCUUGCCAUGAAUCUAUCUAUAGUUUAAAGAUUUUGAAUGAUGAUUUAAAUGCUAAGCUAGAGGAAGCUAAUAAAUCUAGUUCAUGUGUAGAGCAUGUUGUUAUUUGCAAUAGAUGCAAGGACUUUGAUGUUAAUUAUUGUGAUAAACACCUUAUUUCUAUUGCUAAUCUAAAUGAUGAUGUGGCAAGUCUUAAUGCUCAACUUAAGACUUGCAAAAUUGAUUUUGAUAAAUUAAAAAUUUGCUAGGGAUGCCAACACUAUGGUAGACACUCCUCUAUUAAGGAUGGACUUGGUUUUCGAAAGGAAACCAAGAACUUAACAAGCCAAAAGGCUCCCGUUCUCAACAAGGAGAAAGGGAAGGCUCCUAUGGCUAGUAGUUCUCAAAAGUGUCAUGCCUACAUUUAUGAUAGAAAAUUUUCUAGGAAUGCUCAUAGGAGUAAUGAUCAUGAUGCUUUUAAUUCACAUGCUAUGUUUGCCUCUAGCUCUACUUUUGUUCAUGAUAGAAGUAGGCCUAGGAGAAAUCAUGUUGUGCAUCAUGUGCCUAGGAAAGUGUGUAAUGAAUCUACUAUCAUUUACCAUGCUUGCAAUACUUCAUUUGUGCUUUUAUGUAAGAAUGAAAAAGUAGUUGCUAGAAAGUUGGAAUUCAAAUGCAAGGGAGACAAGACUUGUAUUUGGAUUCCAAAGGCUAUUGUAACUAACCUUGUAGGACCCAACAAUAGUUGGGUACCUAAUACCCAAGUGUAAAUUGACUUGCAGGUUUAUGCAUCCGGGGGCUCAAGCUGGAUUAUCGACAGCGGAUGCACAAACCACAUGACAGGGGAGAAGAAGAUGUUCACCUCCUACGUCAAGAACAAGGAUUCCCAGGAUUCGAUCAUCUUUGGAGAUGGGAACCAAGGCAAGGUCAAAGGAUUGGGGAAGAUAGCCAUUACAUCCGAGCAUUCUACCUCCAAUGUGUUCUUAGUUGAAUCGCUCGGGUACAACUUAUUGUAUGUGAGUCAAUUAUGUAACAUGGGUUAUAAUUGUCUAUUUACCAAUAUAGAUGUAUCUGUCUUUAGAAGGAGUGAUGGUUCAUUAGCUUUUAAGGGUGUAUUAGACGACAAACUCUACUUAGUUGAUUUUUCGAAAGAGGAGGUCGAUCUAGAUGCAUGCUUAAUAGCUAAGACUAGUAUGGGCUGGCUGUGGCAUCACCGUCUAGCACAUGUUGGGAUGAAGAACCUUCGCAAACUUCUAAAGGGAGAACAUGUGUUAGGACUAACUAAUGUUUUCUUCGAGAAAGAUAGACCUUGUGCAGCUUGUUAGGCAGGGAAACAGGUGGGAAGCACUCAUCACAGCAAGAAUGUGAUGACAACAUCAAGACCACUAGAGCUUCUUCACAUGGACCUCUUCGGACCCGUCGCCUACCUUAGCAUCGGGGGAAGUAAGUAUGGUCUUGUAGUUGUUGAUGACUUUUCCCGCUUCACUUGGGUGUUCUUUCUGCAGGAUAAAUCAGAAACCCAAGGGACCCUAAAGCGCUUUCUAAGGAGGGCUCAAAACGAAUUUGAGCUAAAGGUGAAAAAGAUAAGGAGCGACAACGGGUCCGAGUUCAAGAACCUACAAGUUGAAGAGUAUCUUGAGGAGGAAGGCAUCAAGCACGAGUUCUCCGCUCCCUACACACCACAACAAAAUGGUGUGGUAGAGAAGAAGAACAGGACGCUUAUCGACAUGGCAAGGACGAUGCUAGGAGAGUUCAAGACGCCCAAGCGGUUUUGGUCGGAAGCUAUGAACACAUCUUGCCACGCCAUUAACCGGCUCUAUAUGCAUCGCCUCCUCAAGAAGACCUCAUACGAACUUCUGACCAGUAAGAAACCCAACGUUUUUUACUUUCGUGUAUUUGGGAGCAAAUGUUACAUUCUGGUGAAGAAAGGUAGACAUUCCAAAUUUGCUCCCAAGGCAGUAGAAGUGUUUUUAAUAGGGUAUGACUCAAAUAAAAAGGCGUAUAGGGUCUUCAGCAAAUCAUCGGGUUUGGUUGAAGUCUCUAGCGAUAUUGUAUUGAUGAGACUAAUGGCUCUCCAAGAGAACAAGUUGAUCUUGAUGACAUAGAUGAAGAUGAUGUUCCAACAGCCGCAAUGCGCACGAUGGCGAUAGGAGAGGUGCGACCACAGGAACAAUAGGAGCAAGAUCAACCAUCUUCCUCUUCAAUGGUGCAUCCCCCAACUCAAGAUGAUGGACAGGUCCCUCGAGAAGAGGCGCGUGAUCAAGGGGGAGCACAAGAAGAACAAGUUAUGGAGGAAGAAGCACCACUGGCCCCUCCAACUCAAGUCCGAGCGACGAUCCAAAGAAAUCACCCCGUCGAUCAGAUUCUGGGUGACAUAAGCAAGGGAGUAACAACUCGCUCACGUUUAGCUAAUUUUUGUGAGCAUUACUCGUUUGUCUCUUCUAUUGAGCCUUUCAGGGUAGAAGAGGCCCUGCAGGAUCUGGACUGGGUGUUGGCUAUGCAGGAAGAACUCAACAACUUUAAGAGGAACGAAGUUUGGAGCCUGGUGCCACGUCCAAAGCUAAAUGUUGUGGGAACCAAGUGGGUGUUCGGCAACAAGCAAGACGAGCAUGGAGUGGUGACAAGAAACAAGGCUCGACUUGUGGAAAAAGGUUAUGCCCAAGUCGCGGGUUUGGAUUUCGAGGAGACUUUUGCUCCUGUGGCUAGGCUAGAGUCUAUUCGAAUAUUAUUAGCAUAUGCCGCUCACCACUCUUUCAGGUUGUUUCAAAUGGAUGUGAAGAGCGCUUUCCUCAAUGGGUCAAUCAAGGAGGAGGUAUACGUGGAUCAACCCCCUGGCUUUGAGGAUGACAGGUACCCCGACCAUGUGUUUAAGCUCUCAAAGGCGCUCUAUGGACUUAAGCAAGCCCCAAGAGCAUGGUAUGAAUGCCUUAGAGAUUUCUUAAUUGCUAAUGCUUUCAAGGUUGGGAAAGCCGAUCCCACUCUUUGAGAGCACCUAAAGGGGGGGGGGGUGAAUAGGUGAUCCUGUAAAAUUCAACACUAAUAGCCACAAAACUUGUUAUGUAAGUUAGAACGACUAAGUGGCUUGAAGCGAGUUCUUGUGAACACAGAUAAUCAAAGGUAAAGCACACAACAUACACGCGAUUUUUAUCUCGUGGUUCGGCCAAGUAAUACUUGUCUACUUCCAGGUUAUGGCGUCCCAAUGGACGAGGGUUGCACUCAACCCCUUUCAAGUGAUCCAAUGAUCAACUUGAAUACCACGGUUUUUCCUUUCUUUGUCUUUCUCCCGUUUGCGAGGAAUCUCCACAACUUGGAGCCUCUCGCCCUUAUAAUGAUGAUCACAAAAGAUGUACGGAAGUAAGGGAGGGAAGAGCAACACACACAAGACUCAAAUCACAGCGCAAUCAUGCACACAAGUCACAACUCGAGCUCAAAACACAACCCACGGAGUUCACAACUCAAAUGGAGCUCAAGUCACUAUCUCAAAGAAUCAAAUACACGAAGUUGGAGUCUUGGAGGCUUAGAAUGUUGUUUGAAUGCUUGGGUGUCUUCUUCAUGCGCCUAGGGGUCCCUUUUAUAGCCCCAAGGUAGCUAGGAGCCGUUGGAGGCCAACAAAGAAGGCUAUCCUUGCCUUCUGUUGGGUGGCGCAUCGGACAGUCCGGUGUGCCACCAGACAGUCACUGUAGAUGGUCCGGUGCGGAUCCCCUUCCUAUUCUGGUGCAGACGACCAUUGCAACGCCGAGCCAGUUGGCGCACCGGACACUGUCCGGUGCACACCGGACAGUCCGGUGCCCCUGCUGACCGUUGGCACAGGCCACGCGUCGCCCACGGAUUGCGCGGCCGACCGUUGCGCUGGCUGCCAUUGGCUCACCGGACAGUCUGGUGCUGCACUGGACAGUCCGGUGAAUUAUAGCCGUACGCCACCGAUUUUUCCCGAGAGUGGCCUGUUCACCGGAGGCUAACCUGGCGCACCAGACACUGUCCGGUGUGCCAAGCCGAGCUAGAAUUUGGAUGUACCAAGCCAAGUCUUUUGCAUUUCUUUUCUUCUCUUCUUUUCUCUGUUUCUAGCACUUAGACAAUAUAUGUUAGUACUCAAAACAAUGUACUAAGUCUAGAAACAUACCUUGUUACAUGAUUUGCAUUUCUUGCUUGUUUGGCACAUAAUCAACUCACUUAAUAUGUGUUGGGCACUUACUCACCAAAACAUUAUUGAAAUGGACCAAGGGCACAUUUCCCUUUAAAUCUCCCCCUUUUUGGUGAUUUAUGCCAACACAUCAAAAAGCAACGCAAAACAUGCAACAUCGAUUCAAAUUGAAGACCAAAUUGUUUUUUACUCUAAUUUGGCAUAUUUAGAUCAUUAUUUGCCACCACUUGGUUUGUUUUUGCAAAUCAAAUUUAUUUUCCUAUCUCUAAGUCAAACUCACUUGUUUGGGCAUAGACAGAGAUAUUCCAAAAGUGAAAUUGAUCAAGAUCCAAAAACUCCCCCUUUUUGUCAUAAUCGAAAAUUCUCCCCCACAAGAGGCCAAAUUUUGCAAUAAGGGUAUUUAGGCAAAUCAAAAAUUCUAACUCUACUAUUUUCAAAAUUCGCAAGUGGUAGCUGAUCCAUUUGCUUUGGCCUUAAUUUCUCCCCCUUUGGCAUUAAGCACCAAAACGGGAUCAUUUUUGGCCCUUUAACCCCAUUGCCUCACCAAACUUGUCAAUUGAGAGCAAAAGGCAAUAAGAGCAUGAGAAUGAACGUGGAGGUGAGUACACUAAUACCGGAGUGUAGUGGAAGUCUUUGCAUGGUCCAAGUUCACCUUUCCCUUUCAAUGCACCUUUGAGACUACAUCAAGUACACUUAAACACAAAGGUUAGUCUCAAAGGGUCAAGUUGUAGCACAUCUCCCCCUAAAUGUGUGCAUCAUUCACACAUGGACUUUUGAGGUCCGGGGAUCCCUUGCACAACUUGAGCACCAUAAAUAAUCAACAAAUUUCAUAAAUGCAUAAGGUAACUUGAUCAAAGGCAUAAAACACAUGUAUGCUAUAAAUCAAUCCAAGUUACGCAAAUCUAAGACAUUUAGCUCACUACGCAGCCUGCAAAAGGUUUUUCAUCUAAUGGCUUGGUAAAGAUAUCGGCUAGCUGGUUCUCGGCGCUAAUAUGGAAAACCUCGAUAUCUCCCUUUUGCUGGUGGUCUCUCAGAAAGUGAUGUCGGAUGUCUAUGUGCUUAGUGCGGUUGUGUUCAACAGGAUUAUCCGCCAUGCGGAUUGCACUCUCAUUGUCACAUAGGAGUGGGACUUUGCUUAGAUUGUAGCCAAAGUCCCGGAGGGUUUGCCUCAUCCAAAGUAGGUGCGCUCAACACUGUCAUGUGGCAACAUACUCGGCCUCAGCGGUGGAUAGGGCAAUGGAGGUUUGUUUCUUUGAACUCCAAGACACCAGGGACCUUCCUAGGAAUUGGCACGUCCCUGAUGUACUCUUCCUAUCAACCUUGCAUCCAGCAUAAUCCGAGUCUGAAUAUCCAAUCAAGUCAAAGGUAGACCCCUUUGGAUACCAGAUCCCGAAGCAAGGCGUAGAGACUAAAUAUCUAAGAAUCCGCUUAACAGCCACAAGGUGGCAUUCCCUUGGGUCGGAUUGAUAUCUAGCACACAUGCAUACGCUAAGCAUAAUAUACGGUCUACUAGCACAUAAAUAAAGCAAUGACCUUAUCAUAGACCAGUAUGCCUUUUGAUCAAUGGACUUACCUCCUUUGUUGAGGUCGACAUGUCCGUCGGUUCCCAUAGGUGUCUUUGCGGGCUUAGUGUCCUUCAUCCCAAACCGCAUGGGAAGAUCUUGAGUGUACUUCGUUUGGGAGAUGAAGGUGCCAUCCUUGAGUUGCUUCACUUGGAACCCAAGGAAGUAGUUCAACUCGCCCAUCAUUGACAUCUCAAAUUUCUGAGUCAUCACCCUGCUAAACUCCUCACAAGACUUUUGAUUAGUAGAACCAAAUAUUAUGUCAUCGACAUAAAUUUGGCACACAAAAAGGUCACCAUUACAAGUCUUAGUGAAAAGAGUGGGAUCAGCUUUCCCAACCUUGAAAGAAUUAGCAAUUAAGAAAUCUCUAAGGCAUUCAUACCAUGCUCUUGGGGCUUGCUUAAGUCCAUAGAGCGCCUUAGAGAGCUUACACACAUGGUGGGGGUACCUGUCAUCCUCAAAGUCAGGGGGUUGUUCCACGUACACCUCCUCCUUUAUUGGCCCGUUGAGAAAAGCGCUCUUCACAUCCAUUUGAAACAACCUAAAAGAGUGGUGAGCGGCAUAGGCUAAUAAUAUUCUAAUAGACUCUAGCCUCGCCAUUGGAGCAAAAGUCUCCUCGAAAUCCAAACCUGCGACUUGGGCAUAACCUUUUUGCUACAAGUCGAGCCUUGUUUCUUGUCACCACUCUAUGCUCGUCUUGCUUGUUGCGGAACACCCACUUGGUUCCCACAACGUUUUGCUUUGGACGUGGCACCAGGCUCCAAACUUCAUUUCUCUUGAAGUUGUUGAGCUGUUCCUGCAUGGCCAACACCCAGUCCGGGUCUUGCAAGGCCUCUUCUACCCUGAAAGGCUCAAUAGAAGAGACAAACGAGUAAUGCUCACAAAAAUUAGCUAAUCUUGAGCGAGUAGUUACUCCCUUGCUUAUGUCACCCAGAAUCUGAUCGACGGGGUGAUUUCUUUGAAUCGUCGCUCGGACUUGAGUUGGAGGGGCCGGUGGUGCUUCUUCCUCCAUAGCUUGUUCUUCUUGUGCUCCCCCUUGAUCACACGCCUCUUCUUGAGGAACCUGUCCAUCAUCUUGAGUAGGGGGAUGCACCAUUAUUGAGGAAGAAGGUUGAUCUUGCUCUUGUUGUUCCUGUGGUCGCACAUCUCCAAUUGCCAUGGUGCGUAUUGCUGCCGUCGGAACAUCAUCUUCAUUUAUGUCAUCAAGAUCAACUUGCUCUCUUGGAGAGCCAUUAGUCUCAUAAAAUACAACAUCGCUAGAGACUUCAACCAAAGCCGAUGAUUUGUUGAAGACUCUAUAUGCCUUUGUAUUUGAGUCAUACCCUAGUAAAAACCCUUCUACAGCUUUGGGAGCAAAUUUUGAAUGUCUACCUUUCUUCGCCAAAAUAUAGCAUUUUCUCCCAAAUACACGAAAGUAAGAGACAUUGGGUUUGUUAUCGGUAAGGAGUUCGUAGGAGGUCUUCUUGAGGAGAUGAUGCAGAUAGAGCCGGUUUAUGGCGUGGCAAGCUGUGUUCACAGCUUCCGACCAAAACCGCUCGAGCAUCUUAAACUCUCCAAGCAUCGUCCUCACCAUGUCGAUAAGUGUCCUGUUCUUCCUCUCUACUACACCAUUUUGCUGUGGUGUGUAGGGAGCGGAGAACUCAUUCUUGACACCUUCCUCCUCAAGAUACUCCUCAACUUGUAAGUUCUUGAACUCGGACCCGUUGUUGCUUCUUAUCUUUUUCACCUUGAGCUCAAAUUCGUUUUGAGCCCUCCUUAGAAAGCGCUUUAGGGUCCCUUGGGUUUCUGAUUUAUCCUGCAAAAAGAACACCCAAGUGAAGCGGGAAAAGUCAUCUACAAUUACAAGACCAUACUUACUUCCUCCGAUGCUAAGGUAGGCGACGGGUCCGAAGAGGUCCAUGUGAAGAAGCUCCAGUGGUCUUGAUGUUGUCAUCACAUUCUUACUGUGAUGAGUGCUUCCCACCAGUUUCCCUGCCUGACAAGUUGCACAAGGUCUGUCUUUCUCGAAGCAGACAUUGGUUAGUCCUAACACAUGUUCUCCCUUUAGAAGUUUAUGAAGGUUCUUCAUCCCGACAUGUGCUAGACGAUGAUGCCACAACCAGCUCAUGCUAGUCUUAGCUAUUAAGCAUGCAUCUAGAUCGACCUCUUCUCUCGAAAAAUCAACUAAGUAGAGUUUGUUGUCUAAUACACCCUUAAACGCUAAUGAACCAUCACUCCUUUCUAAAGACAGAAACAUCUAUAUUUGUAAAUAGACAAUUAUAACCCAUGCUACAUAAUUGACUCACGGACAAUAGGUUGUACCCGAGCGAUUCAACUAAGAACACAUUGGAGAUUGAAUGCUCGGAUGUAAUGGCUAUCUUUCCCAAUCCUUUAACCUUGCCUUGGUUCCCAUCUCCAAAGAUGAUCGAAUCUUGGGAAUCCUUGUUCUUGACGUAGGAGGUAAACAUCUUCUUCUCCCCCGUCAUGUGGUUUGUGCAUCCGCUGUCGAUAAUCCAGCUUGAGCCCCCGGAUGCAUAAACCUGCAAGGUAAUUGACACUUGGGUUUUAGGUACCCAACUCUUGUUGGGUCCUACAAGCUUAGUCACAAUAGCCUUUGGAACCCAAAUACAAGUCUUAUCUCCCUUGCAUUUGGAUCCCAACUUCCUAGCAACUAUUUUUUCAUUCUUACAACAAAUUGCAAAAGAAGUAUUGCAAGCAUGGUAAAUAGUAGAAGGUUCAUUACAUACUUUCCUAGGCACAUGAUGCACAACAUGAUUUCUCCUAGGCUUACUUCUACCAUGCACAAAAGUAGAGCUAGAAGCAAACAUAGCAUGUGAAUUAAACGCAUUAUAACUCCUAUUAUAAUGAGCGUUUCUAGAAAAUUUUCUAUCAUAAAUGUAAGCAUGACAUUUUUUAGAACUACUAGCCAUAGGAGCCUUCUCUUUCUCCUUGUUGAGAACGGGAGUCUUUUGGCUUGUUAAGUUCCUGGUUUCCUUUCGAAAACCAAGUCCAUCCUUAAUAGAGGGGUGUCUACCAAUAGCAUAGGCAUCCCUAGCAAAUUUUUGCUUAUCAAAAUCAACCUUGCAAGUCUUAAGUUGAGCAUUAAGACUUGCCACCUCAUCACUUAAUUUAGUAAUGGACGUAAGAUGUUCAUCACAAGCAUCAAUAUCAAAAUCCUUGCAUCUAUUGCAAAUUACAACAUGUUCUACACAUGAACUAGAUUGAUUAGCUACCUCUAACUUAGCAUUUAAAUCAUCAUUUAAAAUCUUUAACCUAGAGAUAGAUUCAUGGCAAGCAGAUAAUUUAGAAGAUAGCAUCUCAUUUCUCUUAGUUUCUAAAGCAAGAGAUUUUUGCGCACUAACAAAUUUAUCAUGCUCUUCAUACAAAAUAUCCUCUUGCUUUUCUAAAAGUCUAUCCUUUUCAUUUAAAGCAUCAAUUAGUUCAUUAAUCUUUUCUACUUUAGCUCUAUCUAAUCCUUUGAACAAGGUAGAGUAAUCUACUUCAUCAUCACUAGAAUCCUCAUCACUAGAAGUAGAGUACUUGGGGGAAUCUCGAACACUCACCUUCUUUUCCUUGGCCAUAAGGCAGGUGUGGCAUUCGUUGGGGAAGAGCGAAGAUUUGUUGAAGGCCGAGGCUGCCAGUCCUUCAUCGUCGGAGUCGGAUGAAGAGUAGUCAGAAUCCCAUUCUUUACCAAGGUGCGCCUUGCCCUUCGCCUUCUUAUAGACCUUCUUCUUCUCCCUCUUCCCGUGCUUUUCUUGUUCAUGGUCAUCAUCAUUAUCGGGGCAUUGUGCUAUGGAAUGACCAGUGUUACCGCAUUUGAAGCAGGAGCGCUUUCCCCUUGCUUUGUUCUUGUUGGGGUACUCCUUGCGUCCUUUCAAUGCGGUCUUGAAGCGCUUGAUGAUAAGCGCCAUCUCAUCUUCAUUGAGGCCCGCGGCCUCCACUUGUGCCACCUUGCUUGGUAGCUUCUCCCUAUUGCUGGUUGCUUUGAGGGCAAUGGUUUGAGGCUCGUGGACGGGUAGUGGUCCGUUUAGAGCAUCGUCCACAUAUCGAGCCUCUUUUACCAUCAUGCGCCCGCUCACAAACUUCCCAAGAAUCUCCUCGGGCGUCAUCUUGGUGUACCUGGGAUUCUCACGAAUAAGGUUGACAAGAUGAGGGUCAAUUACCAUAAAUGACCUUAGCAUUAGUCGAACGACGUCGUGGUCCGUCCAUCUUGUGCUUCCAUAGCUCCUAAUCUUGUUGACCAGGGUCUUGAGCCUGUUGUAUGUUUGUGUUGGCUCCUCUCCCCUGAUCAUCGCGAAUCUUCCCAGUUCGCCUUCCACCAACUCCAUCUUGGUGAUCAUGGUGGUGUCGUUUCCCUCGUGUGAUAUCUUGAGGGUAUCCCAAAUUUGCUUGGCGUUGUCUAAGUCGCUCACCUUGUUGUAUUCAUCCCUGCACAAAAAUGCUAGCAACACAGUGGUAGCUUGUGCAUUCUUAUGAAUUUGUUCAUUAAUAAACACGGGGUUAUCCGUACUAUCAAAAUGCAUUCCAUUUUCAACUAUCUCCCAAAUACUAUGAUGGAGAUAAAAUAAGUGACUACACAUUUUGUGACUCCAAAAAGAGUAGUCUUUUCCAUCAAAGUGUGGAGGUUUACCAAGAGGAAUUGAAAGCAAGUGAGCAUUGGAAUUAAACGGAAUACGAGAAUAAUCAAAUGAAUAGUUUUGAUUAACCGGUUUCUUUUUAGACGAGUCAUCGUCGUUGUCGUCUCUUGGUGAAGAAGAGGAGGCGUCGUUGUCGUAGUAAAUGAUCUUCUUGAUCUGCCUCUUCUUCUUCCCGUCCCUCUUCUUGUGACUUGAUCCUGAGUCAGUGGGUUGUCGUCCCUUGGCUCGUUGAAGAUGGACUCCUUCUCCUUGUCGUUGACCAUCAUCCCCUUUCCAUUAGGAUCCAUCUCUUCGGGCGAUUAGUCCCUUAGAUGAAGAGAACGGCUCCGAUACCAAUUGAGAGCACCUAGAGGGGGGGGGGGUUGAAUAGGUGAUCCUGUAAAAUUCAACACUAAUAGCCACAAAACUUGUUAUGUAAGUUAGAACGACUAAGUGGCUUGAAGCGAGUUCUUGUGAACACAGAAAAUCAAAGGUAAAGCACACAAGAGACACGCGAUUUUUAUCCUGUGGUUUAGCCAAGUAAUACUUGCCUACUUCCACGUUGUGGCGUCCCAAUGGACGAGGGUUGCACUCAACCCCUUUCAAGUGAUCCAAUGAUCAACUUGAAUACCACAGUUUUUCCUUUCUUUGUCUUUCUCCCGUUUGCGAGGAAUCUCCACAACUUGGAGCCUCUCGCCCUUACAAUGAUGAUCACAAAAGAUGUACGGAAGUAAGGGAGGGAAGAGCAACACACACAAGACUCAAAUCACAGCACAAUCAUGCACACAAGUCACAACUCGAGCUCAAAACACAACCCACGGAGUGCACAACUCAAAUGGAGCUCAAGUCACUAUCUCAAAGAAUCAAAUGCGCGAAGUUGGAGUCUUGGAGGCUUAGAAUGUUUCUUGAAUGCUUGGGUGUCUCCUUCAUGCGCCUAGGGGUCCCUUUUAUAGCCCCAAGGCAGCUAGGAGCCGUUGGAGGCCAAUAAGGAAGGUUAUCCUUGCCUUCUAUCGGGUGGCGCACCGGACAGUCCGGUGUGCCACCGGACAGUCACUGUAGACGGUCCGGUGCGGAUCCCCUUCCUAUUCUGGCACAGACAACCGUUGCAGCGCCGAGCCAGUUGGCGCAUCGGACACUUUCCGGUGCACACCGGACAGUCCGGUGCCCCUGCCGACCGUUGGCGCGGGCCACGCGUCGCCCGCGGAUUGCGCGGCCGACCGUUGCGCUGGCGGCCGUUGGCUCACCGGGCAGUCCGAUGCAGCACCGGACAGUCCGGUGAAUUAUAGCCGUACGCCACCGAUUUUUCCCGAGAGUGGCCUGUUCAUCGGAGGCUGGCCUGGUGCACCGGACACUGUCUGGUGCACCACCGGACAGUCCGAUGUGCCAAGCCGAGCUGGAAUUUGGCUGUACCAAGCCAAGUCUUUUGCAUUUCUUUUCUUCUCUUCUUUUCUCUGUUUCUAGCACUUAGACAAUAUAUGUUAGUACUCAAAACAAUGUACUAAGUCUAGAAACAUACCUUGUUACAUGAUUUGCACUUCUUGCUUGUUUGGCACAUAAUCAACUCACUUAAUAUGUGUUGGGCACUUACUCACCAAAACAUUAUAGAAAUGGCCCAAGGGCACAUUUCCCUUUCACUCUUUUCACUAAGACUUGUGAUGGUGAUCUUUUUGUGUGCCAAAUUUAUGUCGAUGACAUAAUAUUCGGUUCUACUAACCAAAAGUCUUGUGAGGAGUUUAGCAGAAUGAUGACUCAAAAGUUUGAGAUGUCGAUGAUGGGCGAGUUGAACUACUUCCUUGGGUUCCAAGUGAAGCAACUCAAGGACGACACUUUCAUCUCCCAAACGAAGUACACUCAAGAUCUUCUUAAGCGGUUUGGGAUGAAGGACGCCAAGCCCGCGAAGACACCAAUGGGAACCGACGGGCAUGUCGACCUCAACAAAGGGGGUAAGUCCGUUGAUCAAAAGGCAUACCGGUCUAUGAUAGGGUCAUUACUUUAUUUAUGUGCUAGUAGACCGGAUAUUAUGCUUAGCGUAUGCAUGUGUGCUAGAUAUCAAUCUGACUCCAGGGAAUGUCACCUUGUGGCCGUUAAGCGAAUUCUUAGAUAUUUAGUUUCUAUGCCUUGCUUCGAGAUCUGGUAUCCAAAGGGGUCUACCUUUGACUUGAUUGGAUAUUCAGACUCCGAUUAUGCUCGAUGCAAUGUUGAUAGGAAGAGUACAUCAGGGACGUGCCAAUUCCUAGGAAGGUCCCUGGUGUCUUGGAGUUCAAAGAAACAAACCUCUGUUGCUCUAUCCACCGUUGAGGCCGAGUAUGUUGCCGCAGGACAGUGUUGCACGCACCUACUUUGGAUGAGGCAAACCCUCAUGGACUUUGGCUACAAUCUGAGCAAAGUCCCACUCCUAUGUGACAAUGAGAGUGCAAUCCGCAUGGCGGAUAAUCCUGUUGAACACAACCGCACUAAGCACAUAGACAUCCGACAUCACUUUCUGAGAGACCACCAGCAAAAGGGAGAUAUCGAGGUGUACCAUAUUAGCACCAAGAACCAGCUAACUGAUAUCUUCACCAAGCCGUUGGAUGAGAAAACCUUUUGCAGGUUGUGUGGUAAGCUAAAUGUCUUAGAUUCGCGUAACUUGGAUUGAUCUAUAGCAUACAUGUGUUCUAUGCCUUUGAUCAUGUUACUUUAUGCAUUUAUAUGAUUUGUUGCUUAUUUAUGGUGCUCAAGUUGUGCAAGGGAUCCCUGGACCUCAUAAGUCCAUGUGUGAAUGAUGCAUAUAUUUAGGGGGAGAAGUGCUAUAACUUGACCCUUUGAGACUAACCUUUGUGUUUGAGUAUACUUGAUAUAGUCUCAAAGGUGCAUUGAAAGGGAAAGGUGAACUUGGACCAUGCAAAGACUUUCACUGCACUCUGGUAUUUGUGUACUCACCUCCAAGUUCAUACUUAAGCUCUCAUUGCCACUUUGCUCUUAAUUGACAUUUUUGGUGAGGCAAUGGGGUUAAGAGGCCAAGAAUGAUCCUGUUUUGGUGCUUAAUGCCAAAGAGAGAGAAAUUAAGGCCAAAGCAAAUGGAUCAGCUACCACUUGUGAAUUUUGAAAAAAAUAAAGUUAGAACUUUUGAUUUGUCCAAAAUACUCUUAUUGCAAAAUUUGGUCUCUUGUGGGGGAGAAUUUUGAUUAUGGGAAAAGGGGGAGUUUUUGGCACUUGAUCAAUUUCACUCUUGGAAUAUUUCUCUUUGUGCCCAAACAAGUGAGUUUGACUUAGAGAAAGGAAAAUGAAUUUGAUUUGCAAAAACAAACCAAGUGGUGGCAAAAAAUGAUCCAAAUAUGCCAAAUUAGAGUCGAAUACAAUUUGGUCCUCAUUUGCAUUGAUGUUGCACUUAUUUUGGUUGCUUUUUGAUGUGUUGGCAUAAAUCACCAAAAAGAGGGAGAUUGAAAGGGAAAUGUGCCCUUGGGCCAUUUCUAUAAUAUUUUGGUGAUUAAGUGUCCAAUACAUAGUAAGUGAUUAGCUAUGUGCCAAACAAACAAGAAGUGCAAAUCAUGUAACAAGUAGGGCUGGAUGAAAUACUCGUGGCUCGUUGGCUCGCUCGGCUCGUAGCCUGCUCAGCUCAGCUCGGAUCGGAUCGUUUAAAUUUUUACACGAGCUGAGCCAGCGUCUCAGCUUGGUUUCUUAACGAGCCAGCUCGAGCUGAGCUCGAGCCAGCUCGCGAGCUAACCGAGCUACCACAUUGCAGCAUACCGAUUCGGGCCGGCCUUUCACAGUUUCACUUCUUUGGCCCAUCAGCUGUAAGCCCAGGCCCAGCGCUCACCGCUCAAACAGGCAAACGGCCACGGGCCAUCGCUCUAGGCUCCAAUCUAGCACUCCAGCGUCAGCCGCUCCCACAGUCCCGCUCAGCCACGCCCGCGCGCAAACCAUAGUCGGUGUCUUGGCGAUGGCCGACGGCGGCUCGGCGGUGAUGGCUCGGCGCUCCAAGCCUCCACUCGUCUCCACCGACCACCGGUCAGCGGUCCAGGCUGCGCCGCGGCGCAGCGUUAGCGGGCAGCGGCCAACCGGCCACCGGCAUCACGCGCGGCCGCGCGCCCAAACGGCCACUUCUCCAAGCUCCAGUCCAGCUCCAGCACUCCAGCGUCAGCACUCAGCCGCUCUCGUAGUCCCGCAUAGUCGCGCCCGCACGCAAACCCUAGUUGGUGUCUCGGCGACGGCCGACGGUGACUCGGCGGAUCGGUGCUCCAAGCCUCCACUCGUCUCCACCGACCACCGGUCAGCGGUCCAGGUAGCGCCGCGGCACAGCGCCAGCGGGCAACGGCCAACCGGGCACCGGCAUCACGUGCGGCCGCACGCCCAAACGGCCACCGCUCCAUGCUCCAACAAUUCAGCAUCACUGGCUCACUGCGUCUGCGUCUCAGCGUCUACGUCAGGAUCCAGCGUCACUGCGUCUACGACUGUGUCAGGCUCAGCAUCGAUAUCCAGCCCUAUGGAGGAGAACACUCCAUUGCCAGCAAGUUUGGGGUCUCGAUCUCGAAUUCGAACCAAGCAACUCACAAAGAAGCCACCCAUUUCGAUGCAGAAGAUGUCUGCAGCGACAACAUCAUCGGCGUCCGGCAAUCGGUCUAAUGUUUCUAUAUCUGUGGUGAGUAUCCAAAACUUCAAAUGCUAAGCUUUUGUUGUCUUCACAUUCUUUGUUGUAUGCUAGAUUGUAAUGUUGGAUUGAAAUGCAGGAACCAACAACUAAUUCUAGAGAGGAGGAAGACAAGGAGGAGGACAAUAGCCUCGACAUGGAGGAUGAUUUCUCUCUAAGCCUAUCUUCAGAGGAUGGUGGGAGCCAGGGUGAAGAUGAGGUUCAGGUGGCACAAGUUCAUAAUGCAAAGAGAGGAGUCAAAAAGGCAAAGGGUGAUGUUCCAUUAUCUCCUUCAAAGUGUAAGGUCAAGAGGGUGAAGCGAGCCGAUUGCUGGAAGUAUUUUAAGGUGGUCGAAGUUCAAUCAAAGAAGAAGUUUGGGGAAAUGGUGACGAAGGCCAAGUGCAAGUUUUGUUACAAACUGUAUGUGUAUCAACCUGGGGGGUCCAACAUCACAGCUGAAUCGACAUCUGGAUAAGUGCACUGCCUACCAGAACAAGUUGGCCAAUGCAAAAUCAAAGGUUGCUCAAGGUACUAUCAGCUUCGCUCUUGAUGAUGGUUCUCUUGUUGUUAAUCCCAGUGAAUAUGAUCGUGAUCACACUAGAAAUUUGAUUGCUAAGAUGAUUAUUGUUCAUGAGUAUUCACUUCGAAUGGUAGAGCACAGAUGGUUUAAUAUCUUGAUGAAAUGGAUGAAUAACAGCUAUGAAAGUAUUGGUAGAAAGACUAUAAAAAACGAGUGCAUGAAAGUGUAUGAAUCUGAAAAGGACCUUCUAAAGAAAACUCUUAGAAAGGUUGAAUCCAUAAGUUUGACUACCGAUCUGUGGACAUCUAACCAAAAUGUCCAAUACAUGAGUUUGGUUGCACACUACAUAGAUGUAAAUUGGGAAUUGCAAUGUCGUGUACUAAACUUUGUGGAGUUGGAUCCUCCCCACACUGGUGUAGUGAUAGCUCAAGCUAUUUUAGAGUGCCUGGUUGAAUGAAAAAUUGAAGAUAAAGUUAUCACAAUCACACUUGACAAUGCUUCAAAUAAUGAUGUUGCCAUCACCAAUUUGACAUCCAAGCUUCUUGCUAGAAGGAAGAUGUGCUAAUGGUGGAUGCUAGCCUUUUGGUUUUGGUGGCAUGUUGUUGUCUAGUCUAGUUGACUUGCUGUGCACUUUGUACAUGUCCUGCACUCCUGCUAAGCUGCUAGGGCAGUAGACAGUAGUGCACUAGUCAGUAGUGCCAUCCUUUUGGUGGUUAAGUGGUUAGUGGUUAGUUAGUUGUAAAUUCUAGUGGUUAACUGGUUGUAAGUUCUGGUAGGGCUGGAUAUCGAGCCAGCUUGGCUCGGCUCGGCUCGGCUCGUUAAACAACCGAGCCAGAAGAGCAGCUCGGCUCGGCUCGUUAACGAGCUCGAGCUGGCUCGUUUGGCUCACGAGCCACAGCAAAAAAAUCUGCUGCACUCACCCGUCACACACACACACACACAUAUAUAUAUAUAUAUAUAUAUAUAUAUAUAUAUAUAUAUAUAUAUACUGAUGUACACAAAUACAAAAACAAUUUAACACUAGAAAAUAGUUCAAAAGUGACAACACAAAUCACAUUUCAUAAUCAGGAAUUCAGCCUGCAACAUUCAUGAUUCAUCAGUUCACAAAUCACAACAUUCAUCAGUUCAUGGCUUCAAGCAUCACAGUUCACAACAUUAGAAUUUACAACCAACCAGGCAACCACUAACCAUGCUCCAUGCAUCUGUGAUCAGUCCAUGGCUUCAUGCAUCACACGAUCACAACAUUAAUUCAUGGCUUAAUUUACAAAAGUAGCCACCACACCAGAACUUACAAGGUACGUUUUUAGACUUAGUACAUUGUUUUGAGUACUAACAUAUUUUGUCUAAGUACUAGAAACAGGGAGAAAAGAAUUGGAAAAAGACUUGGCUCUGCGCAGCCAAUUCUCAGCUCAGUCUGGCACACCGGACAGUGUCCGGUGGUGCACCGGAUAGUGUCCGGUGCGCCAGGCUGGUCUCGGGAAAAGUUUGGUGGCGUACGGCUAUAAUUCACCGGACUGUCCGGUGGUACACCGGACUGUCCGGUGAGCCAACGGUCGCCAGCGCAACGGUCGGCCGCGCAAUCCGCGAGCGACGCGUGGCCCGCACCAACGGUCGGCAGGGGGCAUCGGACUGUCCGGUGUGCACCGGACAGUGUUUGGUGCGCCAACGGGCCCGAAGCUGCAACGGUCGGGUGAGCCAGAAAAGAAAGGAGAUCGUGCACCAGACAGCUACAAUGAUUGUCCAGUGGUGCACCGGACUGUCCGGUGCACCACCCAACAAAAGGCAAGUUUGGCCUUCCUUGUUGGCCUCCAACGGCUCCUAGCUGCCUUGGGGCUAUGAAAGGGACCCCUAGGCGCAUGGAGGAGCUACACAAGCAUUCACUAAGCAUCCUAAGGCAUCCAGACUCUGUUCUCGCGCAUUCAUUUCGUUGUGUUAGAGAUUUGAGCUCUAUUCGAGUCAAGGACUCCUUAUGUUGUCAUUUGAGCUCAAGUCUUCUCUUGUGUGCGUGGGUGUGCUGCGAUUUGUGUCUUGUGUGUGUUGCUCAUCCCAACCUUACUCUGUGCUUUCAUUGUGAUAUUUGUUGUAAGGGCGAGAGACUCCAAUCUUGUGGAGAUUCCUCGCAAACAGGAAUAAUCAUCUAAAGGAAAAACCGUGGUAUUCAAGUUGAUCAUCGGAUCACUUGAAAGGGGUUGAGUGUAACUCUCGUCCAUUGGUACGCCACAACGUGGAAGUAGGCAAGUGUUACUUGGCCGAACCACGAGAUAAAAAUCGUGUGUCUUGUGUUGAUCUCUCUGUGAUUAUUUGUGUUCACAAGAACUCGCUUCAAGUUAUUUAGCCGUACUAACACUCAUAACUAAGUUUUGUGGCUAUUAGUGUUUGAAUUUUACAAGAUCACCUAUUCACCCCCCCUCUAGGUGCUCUCAUGUCGAGGUCGAGAUGGGCUUGGCAUCCUUCAUUCCAAACUUAUUGAGUAUGUCUUGAAUAUACUUGGUUUGGCUAAUGAAGGUGCCCUCUUGGAGUUGCUUGACUUGAAAUCCUAGGAAAUACUUCAACUCCCCCAUCAUAGACAUCUCGAAUUUUUGAAUCAUGAUCCUACUAAACUCUUCACAAGUAGAUUUGUUAGUAGACCCAAAUAUGAUAUCAUCAACAUAAAUUUGGCAUACAAACAAAUCUUUUGCAAUAGUUUUAGUAAAGAGUGUAGGAUCGGCUUUACCGACUUUGAAUCCAUUAGUGAUAAGGAAAUCUCUUAGGCAUUCAUACCAUGCUCUUGGGGUUUGCUUGAGCCCAUAAAGCGUCUUUGAGAGUUUACAGACAUGGUUAGGGUACUCACUAUCCUCAAAGCCGGGAGGUUGCUCAACAUAGACCUCUUCCUUGAUUGGUCCAUUGAGGAAGGCACUUUUCACGUCCAUUAGAUAGAGCUUAAAGCCAUGGUAAGUAGCAUAGGCAAGUAAUAUGCGAAUUGACUCAAGCCUGGCUACGGGUGCAUAGGUUUCACCGAAAUCCAAACCUUCGACUUGUGAAUAUCCUUUGGCUACAAGUCGGGCUUUGUUCCUUGUCACCACACCAUGCUCGUCUUGCUUGUUGCGGAAUACCCAUUUGGUACCUAAAACAUUUUGAUUAGGACGUGGAACUAAAUGCCAUACCUCAUUCCUCGUGAAGUUGUUGAGCUCCUCUUGCAUGCCAACACCCAAUCUGAAUCUCUUAGUGCAUCCUCCACCAUGUAUGGCUCAAUAGAGGACACAAAAGAGUAAUGUUCACAAAAAUGAGUGACUCGAGAUCGAGUUGUUACCCCCUUAUGAAUGUCACCGAGAAUUGAGUUCAUGGGGUGAACUCUUUGAAUCGCUUGGUGGACUCUUGGGUGUGGCGGUCUUUGACCCUGUAUCUCUUGAUCAUCUUCCAUGUCUUGCUCAACUUCAUCUCCCCCUUGAUCGUUGUCCUCCUCUUGAGGUGGCUCAUCCUCUUGAUCUUCAUUUUCAUCAUUUUGAGCCUGAUCCUCAUCUUGGGUUGGUGGAGAUGUUUGCAUGAAAGAUGAUGGUUGAUCUUGUGCUUGUGUGCACUUCGGAUUCCUUAGGACACACAUCCCCAAUGGACAUGUUCCUUAGCGCGACGCAUGGAGCCUCUUCAUCAUCUAAUUCAUCAAGAUCAACUUGCUCCACUUGGGAGCCAUUAGUCUCAUCAAACACAAUGUCACAAGAAAUCUCAACUAAUUCAGAGGAUUUGUUGAAGACUCUAUAUGCCCUUGUGUUUGAGUCAUAUCCUAGUAAAAAGCCUUCUACAACCUUAGGAGCAAAUUUAGAUUUUCUACCUCUUUUAACAAGAAUAAAACAUUUGCUACCAAAGUCUCUAAAAUAUGAAACAUUGACCUUUUUACCGGUGAGGAGUUCAUAAGAUGUCUUCUUGAGGAUUCGGUGAAGGUAGAGCCGGUUGAUGGAGUAGCAGGCGGUGUUAAUCGCCUCAGCCCAAAACCGGUCCGGAGUCUUGUACUCAUCAAGCAUGGUCCUUGCCAUGUCCAGUAGAGUUCUAUUCUUCCUCUCCACUACACCAUUUUGUUGAGGUGUGUAGGGAGAAGAGAACUCAUGCUUGAUGCCCUCAUCCUCAAGAAAGCCUUCUAUUUGUGAGUUCUUGAACUCUGUCCCAUUGUCCCAUCCUCAAGCAAGCAUUUAAUUCAUGAAUCUUAGUAUAUAAAAUAGCAUUCUCUUUUCUAAGAUUGGAAAUAGAAACAUUGCAAACAUCCAAGUCUUUAGCCUUUGAAAUUAAACUAGCAUUUUCAAGUUUAAGGCUAGAAAUUGAUUCAUUCAAUUUAUCAAUCUUAGCAAUCAAACUAUCAAUUUCAUUUCUAAGAUUGGCAAUUGAAUCAUGGCAAUCAUUUGAUUUUUCAACCUUAGCAAUUAAAUUACAAUUCUCAGUUCUAAGGUUGAAGAUAGUGUCAUGGAAAAUGCUAAGCUCUUUAGUCAAGUUUUCACAUUUCUCUAUCUCCUAAGCAUAAGCAUUUUUCACCUUAACAUGUUUUUUAGUUUCCUUAAUAAGGAAUUCCUCUUGGCUAUCCAAGAGUUCAUCCUUCUCAUGAAUAGCACCUAUUAAUUCAUUUAAUUUUUCUUUUUGUUGCAUGUUAAGGUUGGCAAAAAGACUAAGCAAGUUAUCUUCAUCAUCACUAGAACUACCAUCAUCACUAGAUGUAGUAUACUAGGGGGUGGUUCUAGCUUGUACCUUCUUUUUCUUGUCGUCCUUUGCCAUGAGGCACUUGUGGUCGACAUUGGGGAAGAGAAGUCCCUUGUUGCCGGCGAUGUUGGCGGCGUCCUCGUCGGAGGAGGAGUCGGUGGAGCUCAUGUCCGAGUCCCAUUCCUAACAUAUGUGGGCAUCGCCGCCCUUCUUCUUGUAGUACUUCUUCUUUUCCUUUCUCUUUCCCCUCUUGUCGUCACCCCUGUCACUAUCACUUGACAUAGGACAUUUAGCAAUGAAAUGACUGGGCUUACCACACUUGUAGCACACCGUUUUGGAGCGGGGUUUGUAGUCCUUCCCCCUCCUUUGCUUGAGGAUUUGGUGGAAGCUCUUGAUAAUGAGUGUCAUCUCCUCGUUGUCGAGCUUAGAGGCAUCGAUGGGGAGCCUACUUGAUGUAGACUAUUCUUUCUUCUCCUCCAUCGCUUUGAAUGCGACGGGUUGCACCUCGGGUGUGGAAGUGUCACCUUGCUCCAAGUUGAUGAUUUGUUUGGAGCCUUUGAUCAUCAAUUCAAAGCUCACAAACUUUCCUAUCACUUCCUCCGGAGACAUUAAUUUGUAUCUAGGAUCCCCAUGAAUUAAUUGUACUUGAGUAGGAUUGCGAAAAACAAGGGAUCUUAGAAUAACCUUGACCAUCUCAUGGUCAUCCCAUUUUGUGCUCCCGAGGUUGCGCACUUGGUUGACCAAGGUCUUGAGCCGGUUGUACAUUGCUUGUGGCUCCUCUCCUUGGUUGAGGAUGAAUCGACCAAGUUCCCCCUCGAUCGUCUCCCGCUUGGUGAUCUUGGUCACCUCAUCCCCUUCGUGCGCGGUCUUUAGUACAUCCCAAAUCUCUUUGGCACUUUUUAGCCCUUGCACCUUAUUAUAGUCCUCUCGACAUAGAGAGGCGAGGAGUAUAGUGGUGGCUUGGGAGUCAAAAUGCCGGAUUUGGGCGACCUUGUCCGAAUCAUAUCCUUCAUCCCCUACGGAUGGUACCUGCGUUCCAAACUCAACAAUAUCCCAUAUGCUUGCGUGGAGUGAGGUUAGAUGAUGCCUCAUUUUAUCACUCCACAUACAAUAAUCUUCACCAUAAAAAACCAGUGGUUUGCCUAAUGGGACGGAAAGUAAAGGAGUGUGUUUAGAAAUGCGAGGAUAGCGUAGGGGGAUCUUACUAAACUUCUUGCGCUCAUGGCGCUUAGAAGUAACAGACGGCGCGUCGGAGCCGGAGGUGGAUGGCGACGAAGAAUCGGUCUCGUAGUAGACCACUUUCUCCAUUUUCUUCCUCUUGUCGCCACUCCAAUGCGACUUGACGCGGGGAGGUGAUUUCUCCCUUCCUUUGGCACCGGACUCCCUUGAUGGAGCCUUCCCGUGGCUUGUGGCUGUUUCCAUCUCCCUCUUGGCGUGAUCUCCCGACAUUACUUCGAGUUUUUAAACUCUAAUGAAGUAUCGGGCUCUGAUACCAAUUGAAAGUCGCCUAGAGGGGGGUGGAUAGGCGGAAACUGAAAUUUACAAACUUAAAGCACACUACAAGCCGAGGUUAGCGUUAGAAUAAAAAUCGAGUCCGAGAGAGAGGGGGAAAACAAAUCAACCAAGAAAUAAAGCAGAUGACACGGUGAUUUGUUUUACCGAGGUUCGGUUCCAAAGAACCUAGUCCCCAUUGAGGUGGUCACAAAGACCGGGUCUCUUUCAACCCUUUCCCUCUCUCAAACGGUCACUUAGACCGAGUGAGUUUCUUCCUUGAUUUCUCGGGUCACUUAGACCCCGCAAGGACCACCACACAAUUUGUGUCUCUUGCUUCGCUUACAAGGCUUUGAGAGUAAGAAUGAGAGAAAGAAGAAAGCCAACCAAGCAACAAGAGCAACAAAGAACAUAAGACGAUCUUCUCACAAGUCCUAAAAUACUAGAGUUGAAUUGUGGACUUUGAUUGGAUCGAAGGCUUUGAUUUGUGUCUUGGAGUGUUGUAUUUUGCUCUUGUAUUUAAUGAGGAGUAGUGAAUGCUUGGAUGGUUGGAGUGGAGAUGGUUGGGGGGUAUUUAUAGCCCUCAACCACCAAUUCAACCGUUGGGGCAGGCUGUUGUCGACGGGCGCACCGGACAGUCCGGUGCGCCAGCCACGUCACCCAACCGUUAGGGUUCUGACGGUUUCGACCGUUGGAGCUUUGUCUUCAUGUGGCACCGGACAGUCCGGUGCCGCACCGGACAGCUACUGUUCACUGUCCGGUGCGCCUCUGGCGACUGCUCUGACUUCUGCGCGCACUGUUCUUCACUGUUCACGUUGCAGGCGACCGUUGGAGUCAACCGUUGCGCUGGCUAGCCGUUGCUCCGCUGGCACACCGGACAGUCUGGUGAAUUAUAGCGAAGCGCGGCCUCAGAAACCCGAAGGUGAAGAGUUGGAGUCGAUCGCCCCUGGUGCACCGGACACUAUCCGAUGGUGCACCGGACAUUGUCCGGUGCGCCAGACCAGGGUUCUCUUCGGUUUCUUUUGCUCCUUUCUUUUGAAAUCCUAACUUGAUCUUUUUAUUGGUUUGUUUUGAACCUUUAGCACCUAUAGAAUAUAUGAUCUAGAGCAAACUAGUUAGUCCAAUUAUUUGUGUUGGGCAUUCAACCACCAAAAUCAUUUAUAGGAAAAGGUUAAACCCUAUUUCCCUUUCAAUAACUCAUCCAUAUACGUGGACACGGACUAUUCUAAUAAAUUUUGAACUCUGCACAGAGGUGUGCUCUCUAUCCACUAGUCCGGUUUCUGCAAUUUCAACGUCAUGAGUUUCGAAUACCGAAACUCUCUCCUCCCUUGCACGGCUUUGCCUUAACGGUUAUACCAAAAGGAACAAGGUAACCUCCUCACCCAAACCAGGAUGUAAUUAUUCCCCCACCUUGUCCUUUCGGUGCUCCCUAGCCACCGAUAAGCCAGGGGUGCAGACUGUGCAAGUUCAGAUUAAGCGACUGUCCAUACAGUCCCGAGUGGUUGUACUUGAUAAGAGUUUAGGUAAGGAGUGAUGACAAGCCGGUCCUUAUGCGAGACGGGACAAUCAUUCAUGCUCACACCUAACCCGGCUGAGCCAACUUCUUAGGGCCCUCCCAAACCAGGGAGUCCUGAUCAUCCCGCUCAUGGUGGUGACAGAGAUAAAUGUUCACCCUUUUUUUGAAAACAAGUUUCUUUUAAAAAAACUCACACCUUUUAUCAAAUCAUUUUGUAAUAAAAAUGUCAAGGAGUAUAAAAAAUUUUUGCGACAAAGUUCUAAGGUUGGGUGGCCAUAUUAACAUGUCUCUUAGUAGCAAAAUAAUGUAAUGCAUAAAAUAACAGGCUGAGUGAUGUGUUUGAAAGCAUAGAUAAUUUAUACAUCAAAGAGAUCUAGUGGGUUUGUCGUGCCUUAACUAGCGAAAGGGUGAGAGCUUGUUGUACUAGCUUCUGGCUUCACCGACUGGCAUGGACUUGCGGAACUGGCAUUCAUGGGACAUCACGAACGCUCCGAUAACUAUGCAGCAAGAAUAAGCAAACAUACAAACCAGCAAGUAUAUCAACUAAAAUUCUUUAUAGUGGUCAGGAAUGGUGGUGGAUGGGUGAAUAUAGAUUUGAGUAGAGUUUGUAUUGAUGGAGUAGAGAUGCUUACCCGACAUGCAUUUAGAUCGGCAUCCUCUUCAAUGAAAUCAAUUAAAUAAAGCUUAUCGUCUAAUACACCUUUAAAAGCUAAUGUACCAUCACUUAUUCUAAAGACAGAUACAUCAAUAUUUGUAAAGAAACAAUUACAGCUCAUAUGACAUAAUUGACUUAUAGAAAGCAAAAUGUAACCAAGCGAUUCUACUAAGAAAACAUUAGAUAUUGAAUGCUCAGUAAUGAUGGCUAUUUUACCCAAACCUUUGAGCUUGCCAUGAUUCCCGUCUCCAAAGACAAUCGUAUCUUGGGAAUCCUUGUUUUUGACGUAGGAGGUGAACAUCUUCUUCUCCCCCAUCAUAUGGUUUGUGCAUCCACUGUCAAUAAUCCAACUUGUGCCUCCGGAUGCAUAAACCUGCAAGGUGAUUUAAGCCUGGGAUUUAGGUACCCAACUCUUGUUGGGUCCUACAAGGUUAGUCACAUAAGACUUUGGAACCAAAAUACAAGUUUUGCCUCUCUUGCACUUAGGCCCCACAUUUCUAGCAAUAACUUUUUCAUUUUUACACAUAAGCACAAAUGAAGCAUCAUAAGUAUGAUAAAACAUAGUUGGACCAUUAGAUGCAUUCCUAGGCGCAUGGGAAACAACAUGAUGAGUAUGGCGCCUAGGUCUACUCCUACCAUGAACAUACAAAGAGGUAGAGGAUGCAAACAUGGCAUGUGAAUCAAAGGCAGCAUCAUGACGUACAGGUAAAACAACAUGAUUAUAACAACCAUCAUGAUGAGCAGCAUUAGUGGCAUUCUUAACAUGAGCAUACAAAUAGGCAUGGUUCUUUUUGUCAUGAAAAGAAUGAGAACUACUAGCCAUAGGUGCCUUCCCUUUCUCCUUGAUGAGAUUGGAGGCCCUUUGGCUUAAGUUCUUGGUCCCCUUUUGGAAACCAAGUCCAUCCUUAAUGGAGGGAUGUCUACCAAUGGUGUAGGCAUCCCUUGCAAAUUUUAUUUCAUCACACUCAUUCUUGCAAGUUUUAAGUUGGGCAUUAAGGUUUGCAAUUUCAUCAUUCAACUUAGAGAUAGUGGAAGCAUGAGUAUUGCAAGCAUCAAUAUCAAUUUCUUUACAUCUAUUGCAAAUAGAAACAUGAUCCAUAGAUGAACUAGCAACAUUUACUUUUUCUAGCUUAGCAUUUAAAUUGUUAAGACUAGAAAUAGAAUCACGACAAGACGAUAACUCAGAAGAAAGUAAUUCAUUUUUCUUAAUUUCAACAGCUAGAGAUUUUUCAGCAUUAAUACACUUAUCAUGUUCUUCAUAUAGAAUAUCGUAUUGUUUCUCUAGCAAUCUAUCCUUCUCAUUAAGGGCAUCAAUUACUUCAUUGAUUUUAUCUACUUUAGAUCUAUCUAAACCUUUAAAGAUAUCGCUAUAGUCUACAUCAUCAUCAUAUUCCUCAUCACUAGAAGAAGUGUACUUAGGGGUAUCUCGAGUACGUACCUUCUUCUCCUUAGCCAUGAGGCAUGUGUGAUGCUCGUUGGGGAAGAGGAAGGACUUGUCGAAGGCUGAGGCAGCAAGUCCCUUAUCGUCGGAGUCGGAUGAAGAGCAAUCUGAGUCCCACUCUUUGCCAAUGUGCGCCUCGCUCUUCGUCUUCCUGUAGUUCAUUGAUAAGUACGGGAUUAUCACUACUAUCAAAUGCAUUCCAUUUUCCACUAUCUCCCAAAUACUAGGAUGGGGAGAAAAUAAACAUUUUAUGACUCUAGAAAGAAUAAUCUUCUCCAUCAAAGUGGGGGGGUUUCCAAGUGGAAUAGACAAUAAAUGUGCAUUCGAAUUAUAAGGGAUGUGUGAAUAAUCAAAAGAAUAGUUUUGAUUAAUCGUUUUUUUUCGAUGAAGAGUCUUCGUCGUCGUCAUCCAUUGGUGAAGAAGAAGAGGUGUUGUUGUCGUAGUAGAUGUUCUUCUUGAUGCGCCUCUUCUUUCUAUCCUUCCUUUUGUUGGUUGAGUCUGAGUCGGUGGGCUUGUCACCUUUUGGCUCAUCAAAAUAGAGAGUCUCCUUCUCCUUCUCCUUGUCGUUGAUCACCAUCCCCUUGCCCUUAGGAUCCAUCUCUUCGGGUGGUUAGUCCCUUGAUGAAGAGAACAACUCUAAUAUCAAUUGAGAGCACCUAGAGGGGGUGAAUAUGUGAUCCUGUAAAAAACAGCUCAACAAAACAAACUUGGACUAAUAUUGAAUUAGUGGAAGCAAGAGCCAAGUUCGAAUGAGGAUUAUGAGCGGAGUAAACUUCUUCACUUAAUUGCUCUUCACUAUGUGAGCAUUAAACUUAGAGCAAUAAUGUAAGUGAAGUGGAUAGAGAGAAAAUCGCAGUAGGAUAAGGAUACGUGACACAACGAUUUUUAUCUCGUGGUUCGGUCAAGUAGAAUACUUGCCUACUCCACGUUGUGGCGUCCCAACGGACGAGGGUUGCACUCAACCCCUUUCAAGUGAUCCAAAGGUCAACUUGAAUGCCACGGUUCUGUUUAUCUCAACAAUACCCCAUUGUGAGUUAUCUCCACAAUUUGGAGUCUCUCACGCCUAACACAAAUGAUCUCAAAUAAACACAAGAGUAAGGGGGAAUAGAAACACACACAAGAGCGAGAGUUGCAGCAGCAACACACACACAAGACAAGAAAGAGCACACGAAACAACACAGCGGAGUUACAGCUCAAAGAAGUGCUCAAAUCUAUAUCACAAUGAAACGAAUGCGUGUUUGCGGAUUCUCGGCAUUGUAAGAUGUUUAAUGGGUGCUUGGUGUAAUGCUCCAUAUGCCUAGGGGUCCCUUUUAUAGCCCCAAGGCAGCUAGGAGCCGUUGGCGUCCCAUUUGUAAGGCCCUGGUUGCCUUCUAUCCGUGGACGCAGUCUGGUGCACCACCGGACAAUGAACAGUGUGUGAUUUCCUUCCUUAUUUGGCAAGACGACCAUUGUCAGCCACUGGUCCCACGGCGCAUCGGACAGGCUGGUGUCACACCAGACAGUCCAGUGUUGCAUGUUGACCGUUGGCUGAGCCACGUGUCGCCCGCUGAUCGCGCGGUCGAUCGUUAGCAGGGCGCGUGGCUGGCACAUCGGAUAGUCCGGUGCACAAUCAUGUCUUGUUUCAUCUCGUUUUCAUGUGCUUUUCCUAAAUAUAGGAUCUCCGACAGGGGGAGUAUAUCUUCUUUCAUACAAAAGGGGAGAAUAUUCUUUCAAAGGGGGUGAGCUCUCUUUUAGGGGGAGUAAUCAUUUUAGAGGGCAAGUCUUUGAUUGCUUCCUAUAUGAUUUUAAUGUCUUCCUUUUGGUGUUUGAUUCCAAAGGGGGCGAAGUUUUAGGGACCAAAGCAAAUUCAAAAUAUAUCAAAUAUCAAACACCACCCAAUUUAAAAUUUAAAAACUUGAGCUUACAAGCAGUUUUGGUUCUACAAGUGUUUUUGGUCUAAAAUAGGAAGUAUGUGGAUUAUGGUGUUAGGGGAGGCUUAAGCCCAUAAUGUCACGUUGUGGGGACAUUCAUGCAUCCUAGCAAGUAGAUUGCAUAUUUUUAUCAAAAUAUUUUUUAUAUUUGCUUGCUUUGGUUGUGUUGUCAUCAAUCACAAAAAGGGGGUUGUAAGGAAAAUGGACCUCGACCCAUUUAACUAAAUGAUUUUGGUGGUUGAUGAUCAACAUAAUCUGUUGACUAAUGUGUCUGCUAGUUUUUAUAUUUGUAGUUCAUAGGAUGUUAAAGUGACUUGGACUAAGGCACUGAGGAAGCAACACCUCAAAAGAAGAUAUUAUGAAACCAUAUGUGAAGAUCAAAAAGUAUCAAGCAAAGUCCAAGACAUGAAGAGAGUGUAGCCACUCGCGAACCAUCUGUCCAAGUGCAGCGGAUUGUCCGAUGGCUCACCGGAUAGUCCGGUCCACCCGGUGGACUAUCCGGUGCACCAAGAAAUAGUAGUCCAACACCUAGUUCCUGGUGGCACAGUGGAGGAAAGCCACUGAAUUGUACGGUGCACCACCGGACUGUCCGGUGUGUUGCAGAGAGCAGUAGCUUUUCUGCAAUGGCUAUAUUCGAGUUGGGACCUAUAUAUAUUUCACCCAACCGGCCAUUUGAAGGGGUGGCAGUCCAAGCAACUGCUUGGGAGUCCUUGCAAUUUGAAUAAACCAAGAUCUUACCAUGACUGCAAUUUUAGAGAGACGCGAAAGUACAAGCCUGUGGGGUCGCUUCUGCAACUGGAUAACUAGCACCGAAAACUGUAUUUACAUUGGAUGGUUCGGUGUUUUGAUGAUCCCUACCUUAUUGACCGCAACUUCCGUAUUUAUUAUCGCCUUCCAACACAUGUUAUAGACAUUUCCAAGUGCUCA